UUCUUCUUCUUCUUCUUCCUUCUUCUCGUAAACCAAACCAACUCUGCCAAUGAAGCAGAAAAAUCAACUUUGCAUAAUUUUCCAUUCUUUUAAAUGAAAACACCACCUUCCUCCUCCGUGCCCCUCUGUCUCGUCGUCGCCGCCCUGCUUAUACUCUCUCUGCCACGCUCUUCUCAUGGCCUCGGUUCCGGCGCUACCCUUGCCGUCUCUGACGCCUCCGCCACCGUGUGCGCCGUCGUGGCAGGCGAGUCCAUUCGCCGCAUUCAGUGUUACCGUCAGGGACAGAGUGUCUCCAUCAUUCCCAACGUUAGUUUUUCAAUGAUUUCGGGUGGGAGGAACUACUUCUGUGGUCUAAGGUCAAGUAACUCAGAUUUACUUUGUUGGAACACAAGCUCUUCCUUCGAAAGGAGAAGGCUUUACAACGAUAGUUCUGUUCCAUUGGAGAAUCUGGCCGUUGGGGAUACCCACGUUUGCGCCACCGAGGUGGGUGCUGGCACGGUCAAGUGCUGGAGAACCGGUGACACGUUUCAGCUUCCUUCUGUGACUGAUACAUUCUCUUCGAUCUCAUCUGGGUCUGGCUUCUCUUGUGGAAUUUUGAGGAAUAAUUCUCGGGUUCGGUGCUGGGGAGACACCAGCGUUUCGGAUUUAACGGAACGGAUUGAGAAUGCAUUUGGGAACAUGUCCAUGUUGAGUCUUGUCGCAGGUGGUUCACAUGUUUGUGGAUUGAACUCAACUGGGUUUGUGGCAUGUGGCGGAAAUAACGAUUCUGGACAACUUGAUUUUCCUCAAGGUGGGGCUUUUGAGUAUUCUGCGGUGGCGCUUGGAGCCGAACAUGGCUGUGCUAUCAGAGGAUUGAAUGGUUCGGUUGUGUGUUGGGGUGGCAAUGGGGGAUUCUUGGGGACUAAUGUUACGGAUGGAGUUUCCUUUGAGGUAAUUGUUUCUGGGUCUAAUUUUGUUUGUGGAUUGACAACAAACAAUUUGACAGUGGUGUGUUGGGGUCCUGGUUGGUCUAAUAGUUCGACGUUUGAGCUUCCUUUUCCACCUGUUCUUCCAGGGUCUUGUGUUCAAUCUUCCUGUGGAGAGUGUGGUUCAUAUCUUGAUUCUCAAUCUCUAUGCUCUGGCUCUGGUAACAUUUGUAAACCAAUGACUUGUAAGCCUCAAACAACAGCUCCACCGCCGCCAUCACCGUCACCGCCUCCACCAUCAAUGCCACCGCCGCCAGCAUCACCGCCACCGCCACCACCUUCGUCAUCGCGAUCAAAGACCUUGACAAACGGGUUAUUGGCAUUUGCUAUUAUCGGUUCUGUGGGAGCUUUUGCUGGAAUAUGCACUAUAGUUUAUUGCUUGUGGAGUGGUGUUUGUUUUGGGAAGAAGAAAGUUCACAAUUCUGUGCAGCCUACAAUCACAAGAGGUAGCAGUGGUUCAAACGGUGGGGGUGCUUCUAAUAAUAGCAAUUCUUCAAUAUCAUCUAUGAUUAUGCGUCAGACUUCAAUAAUAAUGAGACGCCAGAGGAGUGGAACGUCCUCAACGAAGCACCCAGACAGGGCUGAGGAGUUCACCCUGGCCGAGCUUGUGGCAGCCACCGACAAUUUCUCAGCAGAAAACAAGAUCGGAGCUGGAAGCUUUGGUGUUGUGUACAAAGGCAAACUCGCGGAUGGACGCGAGGUGGCAAUCAAGAGGGGUGAAACUGGUUCCAAGAUGAAGAAGUUUCAAGAGAAGGAAAGUGCAUUCGAGUCUGAAUUGGCCUUCUUGUCUCGUCUACACCACAAGCACUUGGUUGGACUGGUUGGAUUCUGCGAAGAGAAAGAUGAGAGGCUCUUGGUGUACGAGUACAUGAAGAAUGGGGCGCUGUAUGAUCAUUUGCAUGACAAGAACAACGUGGAGAAGGGUAACAGUGUGUUGAAUUAUUGGAAAAUAAGGAUAAAAAUUGCUUUGGAUGCUGCCCGGGGAAUAGAGUAUCUUCAUAAUUAUGCAGUUCCAUCAAUUAUUCACAGAGACAUAAAGUCUUCUAACAUUCUUAUUGAUGCUACUUGGACGGCAAGAGUAUCGGAUUUUGGAUUGUCUAUGAUGAGUCCAGAACCCGACCGUGAUCACCGACCAAUGAAGGCAGCAGGAACCGUUGGAUACAUUGAUCCGGAGUACUACGGUUUAAAUGUAUUGACGGCAAAGAGUGAUGUGUAUGGGCUGGGAGUUGUACUACUGGAACUUUUAACAGGAAAGAGAGCUAUAUUCAAGUAUGGGGAAGACGGAGGCAGCCCACUAAGUGUGGUGGACUUUGCAGUGCCUCGUAUUUUGGCUGGAGAAUUGGUGAAAAUUUUGGAUGAAAGGGUUGGACCACCCGAUGUGAAUGAGGCAGAGGCAGUGGAAUUAGUGGCCUAUACAGCUGUCCAUUGUGUGAAUUUGGAAGGGAAAGAUAGACCAACCAUGACUGACAUUGUGGUCAAUUUAGAGAGAGCUUUGGCUGUUUGUGAGAGUAGCCAUGAUACCAUUUCCAGUGGCUCUAUCUCUGUUGUUUCAGAAUGAUAAAAGGGGACAAAAUAUUGAAAAUUUUGUGAAUUCUUCUUAUUCAUUUUUCUCAAUUUCAUAUCUUCAUUCAUUGUUUCCAAUAUGCUUGUAAAGAUUUAGUGUAUAUUAUGCUGUAAAUUGUUGAUAGUAAAAGACAUAGAAAGCAGAAAAGUAUGGAGUUGCGGUCUGAUUUGAGAAGUUGAGUCUGCAGGGACAUUAUGAUAAAUCCCUUUCACGAUUCUCUUUGAAAUGUCUUCGUUGACUUCCACGUUGACGCAGCGCAAUGAAACACCAAAUUAAGCAGCGGCUUGAUUAAUGCAUAUUAAUUGCUUUUUUAUUACACCCACCAAACGAUCUUUGAAUUCACUUCUCUGCCUCUGUUUUUCUAUAUUUUCAGGACUUGGUCUUCUUCAUUUAUCAGACUACAAAUUCAACUCUGAUUUUGUCUCUUCCUCACUCCUCCCUAAUCAACUUAUUUCCAUUUUCGAAGCUACAGGACUCAACUUUCUUAAAACAAGUCAAAAAGUUUAAGCUACAUAUAUAUUUACCCAUUUUAAUGUUUCCCACGCUUUGCAUUAAUGUUUCACAUCUCAACAUGUUUAACACUCUAUUUUAUGUCAAAAAUUAUUAUUCAAUAUAUAUUCUUAUAUGCAAUAUAUAGUUAUGUGCAUGGUACAGAAUAAAUAUUUUUUAUAAUAUUAAAAUUAUAAUUAAUAAAUAAAAUUGAAUAUAUAACUUGUUUUGGUAUUAGAGCCCGAGACCGAACCGACCCUCUGAUCCUGUACCCGUUCGUCUGACCCGUUCGUCUUUCAGAUGCCUUUAUGAAUCACCCGGGAGACCCUGCAAUAAGAACACUCCGACGUCCAAGUCAGUAGAUCAGUUAACGGAAUCAAUUUUUGGAUUAGAUUCGAGAUUACUUUACCUGUCCUGCUGUCCCUAUUUAUAGACGAUGUAUUCAUAACUGACCAUUAAUUUCAUUGAUUNGCUAUGCCUUCCGUUACAUCUCCAUCAAAGUCUUUUAAUGCUUUCUCGACCCCACAUCCACUUGAUCCAUACCGUCCGGUGUUAGGCUGCCUUUGCCCCUUGUGGCUUUGGCAACCUGGCCGACCGGUCUUUUUCCAGCACUCUUGAUCCGGCCGACUCAGCCGACCCUCCUCCACUACAUAACUCAUUAUAAUAAAAUUCAGAAUAACUAAAUGAAUUUGAUUCUAUACGUUUUAUAUAUAUAAUACACACCGUGUAUAUAUGUAUUAGAUGAUUUCUUAAGGGUUUUUGGGGUUGCACCAAGAAAUUUGAUAGGGUGGAGAAAGUCCUUUCCUAAAUUUAUUUACGAGGGCAGGGUAUGUUGGCCUAACCAAGAAUGAGUUGAUCCCUGUCCAGGCUCAUGCAGGAGGCCCAGAGAAACACUCAAUAAUGAAAGAAUAAAAUUAAGUAAUUUGUUUACAAAUGUUUUUUCUACUAUUUAUAUGUCAAUAAUUUUCAAAAUUCAACAGGUCAAAAGUUUAAUUUUUUAAUAUUUUAAAAAAGUACUAACAAUUUAGUUAAAAUUCUUAAAUAUAAAUUUUCAUCCGAAUGAGUACGUUGGUUUUUGUUUAUAGUAACUUGGGGGGUGGUGGAAGCAGUUGGUCUCAAAAACCAUGAACGAGGAAACUGCUAGAAGGUUACCCUUGUCUUGCCUCGCACCUUCUCAACAAAUUCGCCCUGCCUCACUCACUGUCAGUGUUUCAGAAAAUGACUAUACCAUAUUCUAUGACUAAAAUAGUAAAAGAAAAAGUGACCUUUUAUAUUUCAAAAAAAAUAAAUAAAUAAAGAACAGUGAAGGAUAACGUCAAUGACGUUAAUGUUUAUUGGCGUUAGUUUAUUUUAGAACUUUUAAGGAUCUCUGUACAAAGAAAAAAAUAUUUUAACCUAAACCUUUUACAAUAUUUUAAUACAAUAUACGUAAAAUAUUUUUUUACAAUAUUUUAAUAUAAUAUACUAAUAUAUUUUAAAUCCAGUAUAAUACAUGUAUUAUAUUAAAAUAUUGUAAAACAUUAUAUGUUAACUGUGGAUACGUUGUAGAAUAAGAAAAAAAAAAUAUUGCUUUUCUCCCUUACCCAUACAAUGGUAGUACUAUUUUUAAAGUCAAAUCAUCCACCGUCCAUUUACGAAGUCGGUGAUGAUAAAAUAAUUCUGACUUUUGAGUGAUUUUGACUUAUAUUGUUUCCUGUUGUAGUAUUUAAUCUUCUGUAAAUAUAUAUAGGUCCAAAGCGAGGACGCAGUAGAUUCAGAAAGCAAUACGCUACGCACAUAGUUUGACAGUUGAGGCAAGAGGAAAAAGAAAAAUACAUUGCAUACAUGGCGAAUUCAGGAGUAUCCCUUAUGUUUGCUUCGAUAGUGGAAAAUGCUCUUAGAAGUAUCGGAGGAGAUUUGGGGGCAUUUCCUUUGCACGAUUUUUCUUUGGCAGUGGAGAAUGCUUUGAGUAGUAUUGGAGGAGAUUUCGGAGCAUUACCUGUUCAUGGAUUUGCUUCUAUAGUCAACAAUGCAAUGACAAGUGUUGGAGGAGAUUUGGGAACAUUGCCCGUGCAUGGUUUUGCUUCUGCAGUGGAGAAUGCGAUGAGAAGUACUGGAGGCGAUUUUAGAGCCUUACCCGAGCAUGGCUUUGCUUCGACAGUGGAGAAUGCCAUGCAUAGCAUUAGUGAAGAUUUGGGAAUGUCUCAUUCCCCUGUGCCUGGUUUUCAAUUAUUCACCCUAGUUGAGCUUGCAGCAGCCACCGACAAUUUCUCAUCGGGCAACAGAAUUUGUAUUGGAAGCUAUAGUGUUGUGUACAUAGGCAAACUCGUUGAUGGUAGUGAGGUUGCAAUAGAAAGGGUAGAAACGGGGUUGAGUAGAACGCCUGAAGAGGUCUUCUGGUGGAGGAGAAUGUCUAGUUCGACCUUUUGGCCUUGUUUACGCCCCAAGAACUUGGUUGGGCUGGUUGGGUUGUGUGUAGAGAAAGAUGAAAGGGUGUUGGUGUACGAGUACAUGAAGAAUGGAUCGUUGAAUGAUCAUUUACAUGAGAAGGGGAGCAAUGUGUUGAAUUCGUGGGAAAUAAGGAUAAAAAUUGCUUUGGAUGCUUCCCGAGGAAUAGAAUAUCUUCAUAGGUAUGGAAUUCCAUGUACUGUUCAUGGAGAUAUCAAGACUUGCAACAUUCUUCUUGAUGCUACCUGGACGGCAAAGUUGUGUAACUUUGGGAAGGUAGCAGGAAGCAUUGGAUACAUUGAUCCUGAGUACUCAACUCUUGGUGUGUUCACAGAAAAGAGUGAUGUGUAUGGAUUUGGAGUUGUGCUGCUUGAACUUCUAACAGGAAAGAGAGCUGCAUAUGGGCAAAGUAGGAAAAAUAUAGGCAGCAUAUUACAUGUACCCUCUGCAAAGGCUGCUAUUGUGGCUGGAGAUUUUGUUAAAAUUUUGGAUACAAGGAUUGGAGAACCCUAUCUCGGUGAAGCAGAGGCAGUGGAGUUAGUGGCUCAUACUGCCAUGAAUUGUGUAAAUGUGGUAGGGAAGGUUAGACCAUCCAUUUCUCAAGUUGUGGUCAAUUUGGAGAGGGCUUUUGCUUAUUUCUUGUGCUAGGGUGAAGUAUUCUGAGUUCUCAUUCAUUCUUUCUAAAUUUUAUAUUUACUUCAUUCUGAUAUAUAUCUGUAAACUGUUUAUUUUUUCAUUUUUUUUUUCUAUAUAAAUUUCUCACUAUUAAUGAAUAUUUCCCUAUAUUCCUAAAAUUUCAAUUUAAAUAUACUAUACUAUGUUUUCUUAUAAUAUUAUUUUAUGCUUAAAUUGUUAGAAUGGUUUCAUUCAAAGAUGCUAAUUAAUGAAAAAGUUCAUCACCAAUGAAUAAUGUCACUAGAAGAAAACUCCGUAAUAUAGUAACUUUAAUGCUAUUAAAACAUAUUCUAUUUAUUUUAAAAAAAUAAUUAAAAAUAGUUCAUUGACUAUAUCCCCUUUUAAGUACAAAGUUACGUGAUUUUUUCCGUUCAAAAAUUACUCAAUUCGUCCCCAAAAAUAUGUGUUUAUCUACAUUAUAUCAACAAGUUGAAAUCCGUUCAUAAAAUUUAUGACAAAUGAAUCAAUUUGAUUUUAUAAGCUUUAAUUAAUCCAUUUAAUUUUCGUUGAACUAUUGAUCACUAAAUAUAAAAUAUAAUUUACAAUUUAACUUUAUCUUAUUUUAAGAAGCACUAAUUUAACCAUUCAAAUGUCUCAUGUAUUGUAAUAAUCCCCUCGUCAAUAGCUAUCAUCAAUGUUAUCAAUUCCUAAAAAAUAAUCAUCUUAAAUUCAGAAUUUCAAACAACAACCUUUAGCUCCAAAUCAUUAAAUCAAUUCACAUUCUUAACCAACCAAUUUAUACCAUACACGAAAUCCAUUUAAUACAAAUAAAAAUUAAAUCAUGAUUCUAUAGCAAAACACACUCAAAUUUAAAUAAUUAACUUUCCUUACUUGACUAAUAACACAACAUAACUUCUUUGAUCAAUAAACACCCAUAAACAUAAAGAACAAAUAUAUACUGUAAGCACAAAGAAAAUUUUGAUCAAUUUUCAUAUCUUAAUCAUCUUAAUAAAACAAAGAUCACACUAUUAUAAAAAGAAUAAAAUAAAAAUCUACUCUAUUUAACAAAAUAAUUAGAUGAAUAAGUAGGUUUCAUGGUCAUUAGUGUGCUCCCGUAUUCUAACAUAUUAAUAGAGAAUUAAAAUUUCUAGAAAGAAAGUAGAGGUGGAAUAAUAUUCUUAUUUUUAGAAAAAUAAUAAAUUUUAUAAAUGAACUAUAUUUAUUUUUAUUAAAACUUUUUAAUAAUAAAUUAUAUGAGUGUAAAUUAUAGGUAUGAUAUCUUCUUAAUGUUUAAUAUUUUUUUUCUCAAUUAUCAUAAUACUUUUUAAUUUAAUUAAAUUUUUUAAAUGAGUUAAUAUAAACCUUUCUAUUUGGUGAAAAAUAAAAUAAAGUUACAUUAGGUCAUAACAGAAAAAAAAAGUAAAAUAUUUUUAGCAUUAUUUUAAAUUUACAAAUAUUAAAAGGGCUGACAUAUGGUUUUGAUAUUUAAAAGCACAUUUGUUCUAGAAUUAAUAUAUUUUAAAAUUUUCUUUGUUUUCAGUCGUUGACAAGUAGUUACUUACCUUUACGCGUAGAAACAUAUAAUAUUAUUAUAAGGUGAAUGAUUAAUAUUGAUCCAUUGACGAAUUACUAUGAAGAACACUGACUUAUCUAACUGGUAUGCAUCGACCAAGAAUUACAAGAUAUUUGUUUAUCUUUAUUAUAAUAUCUAAUAUAUGACAACAGAUUCUAAAUUAUAAUAAAGCACUUUAUCAAAUCAACAAUUAUAUUAAAGAAUAUAAUUAUGAUAAAUAAAAGAAUAGUUUAUUAUAAAUAUAAAAUUGUCUCUUAUAUGUUUCCAGACGCCCUUUUUCUCAGUACACGGUUUUCAAGAAUUCGUCGUGGCAGAGCCUGUAUAAGCCGCCAGCAAUUUCUCAAAUGAUCACAUCAUUCAAUGGUUCUGGAAGCUCUGUUGAUGUGUGGGACCUUCUCAACUGGGACGCGUAUUCUCUGUGUAUAAAGAUCGAAAGCGAGUUCUUUGAAAGUACAUACUUUGACAUGGCUGGUUACAUGGGUGAUGCAACAAGUUUUUGUUCGGCUGUGGACAGUGCCAUAAGGAGUGAGACUGCCUCAAGUUUGGGAGCAUCCCCUCCCCAUAGUUUUGCUUCGGUGGUGGACUAUGCAUUGAGAAGUAGUUGUGCUUCUGAAGCAGAUUUUGGAACGUCCCGUGUCUCCAGUUUUGUUUCGAGAGUGGACUAUGUGAUCAGGAGUAGUGGAAUAACAGAUUUAGAAACCUUCCCUGUGCCUGGUUUUGCUUCUGAGGCUUACUCCACCACUGUUGCUGAAGCAGAUUUUCGAACGUCCCGUGUCUCCAGUUUUGCUUCGGGAGUGGACGACUAUGUGAUCAGGAGUAGUAGUAGUGAAGGAACAGAUUUAAAAACCUUUCCUGUGCCAGGUUUUGCUUCUGAGGUUAACUCCACCACUGUUGCUGAAGGGUCAUCACCAGUGUUGUCCAAUGUCACAGAACAUGCUGUUAAAGGCUUACAAUUAUUCAGCCAGGCUGAGCUUGUAGCAGCGACCAACAAUUUCUCACUUAACAACAAGAUUGGUGCUGGAAGGCUUGGUGUUGUGUACAUAGGCAAACUCGUUGAUGGCCGUGAGGUUGUAAUCAAGAGGGUUGAAACCUGGCAAAAGAAAAAGAUCUCAUCAAUUAAAUCUGCAUUGACCUUCUUGUCCCGUUUACACCACAAACACUUGGUUGGGUUGGUUGGAUUCUGUGAAGAGAAAUACGAGAGGCUGUUGGUGUAUGAGUACAUGAAGAAUGGUACCUUGUAUGAUCAUUUGCAUGAAAAUGGUAGCAAUGUGUUGAAUCGGUGGAAAAUGAGGAUCACUAUUGCUUUAGAUGCUUCCCGAGGAAUAGAAUAUCUUCAUAAGUAUGCAGCUCCACUAUUUAUUCACGGGCACGUCAAGUCUUCCAACAUUCUUCUUGAUGCCACUUGGCUGGCAAGAGUGUCUGAUUUUAAAUUGUGUUUGAUGAGUCCAGAAGCUGAGCGUGAUUACCGACGAAUAAAGGUAGGAGGAACAGUUGGAUACAUUGAUCCUGAGUACUAUGAUCUAAAUAUAUUGACAGCAAAGAGUGAUGUGUAUGGGCUGGGAGUUGUACUGCUAGAGCUUUUAACAGGAAAGAAAGCUGUAUUCCUUGAUGGGGAAGAUGGAGGUACCUUAAGUGUGCACCGUUUGGUGGACUUUGCAGUGCCUGCCAUUUUGGCUGGAGAAUUGGUCAACAUUUUGGAUCCUAGAGUUAGACCACCGGGUGUGAAUGAGAUUGAGGCAUUGGAGUUGGUGGCCCAAACAGCCCUCCAUUGCGUGAAUCGGAAAGGUAAAGAUAGACCAUCCAUGGCUGAUAUUGUGAUCAGUUUGGAGAGAGCAUUGGCCAUCUGUUACGGUAGUACUUAUCAUAUCAUUCAUGGGUGGAUGGAUUUUGAAAAUAUAGUUUGGAAAUAUAAGGGAUAUGUUAGUUAGGGAUUUAUAAUUUUAUUUUAUUUGUGUAUUUUAUUUUAUUUUAUCCAACCUUUGCCCCGUCUAAACCAUAAUCACUUGGCUGGGCUAGUUGGGUUCUGUAAAGAGAAAGAUGAAAGGUUAUUGGUGUAUGAAAAGAUGAAGAAUGGGGCGUUAUUGGACAAGGUGAGCAGUGUAUUGAAUUAUUGGAGAAGGAGAAUCAAGAUUGAUUUGGAUGCAUUCGGGGGAAUAGAACUAAUCCCUAAUAAUUAAUCAAAACUAGAUGACUAUCAAUACUCUUUAACACUCAGAUAAAACGAAAAAGAAGAAGAUAAUUAUUUCUUCCUUGCAAGUUUUGAAUUAACUCCCAAAUUAUGAUAAAUUGUCAUCAUAAAUUAUUUAAGAAAACAUUCUAUCUUCAUUCAUUCAACUUAUUAUGGCCAAGGGUUUUUAAUUUUAUAAUAAAAAUCAAACGAUGGUUCCUGCUUUAAUAUCAUUAACCUCCAUUUCCAUUCACAUCCAUUCGAUUAGACUUUAAAGCACAAGGUGUCUCUACAAUCAAAAUAUAAUAAAUCACUUAUCAAUUAAAAUAAUAAUGCCAUGUUAAAGAAAAUAUUUAUUUUCUUAUUUAUAGUUUUUCAUCGAUAAACUAUGAUAUAUAUGUAAAUUAAUAAAUAAGAUCCAUUGAAAAGAAAUUAAGGUAAUAUUAACUAUUGAAAACCUCCUCUUGCAUGACCACGUAUGUAUAGACUAGUAAAUAAGAUCUAUUAAUAUGAUUCGAUUUAUUCUACUAAUAUUCUGUUGAUAAUAAUCUUUGACCAACAAUUGUUUAAAUUACACUUAACGUAUGAAUGACUAAGGUUGACCUUCUCCUUUCCUAGCACCUUCUCAACCAAUACAUGGUACUUAACAUGUACACGUAUUCAUAUCUCCACGCGGUAUAUCAGUGUAAUUGUGUAUAUAGGUGUUCUACAACAUACAUAAACUCACUUAGCUAGUGCACAAAUAAUAAUUGAGAUGGCUGAUAUCGUAGUUGACGCAAGGAGUUUUAGUUGGGCAGUGGACAGUGCCAUAGCGAGUGAGAGUGCGUCAGAUAUGGGAGAAUCUCGUGUCCGCAGUUUUGCUUCGGUAGUGGACAGUGCCAUAAGGAGUAGCAGUGCUACUGAAGCGGAUUUUGAAACAUCCGCCCCUAUCAGUUGUUUUGCUUUUGCUUCUGCGGUGACCCAAAGAAUUGUUGCUGCACGACUAUCACAAGCAGUGUCGGAUGGGAUAGGAUAUGUUCAUACACGAUUAUUCACCCUAGCUGAGCUUAAAGCGGCCACCAACAAUUUCUCACUUCACAACAAGAUUUUUGGUGCUGGAAGCAUUAGUGUUGUGCACAGAGGUAAACUCUUUGAUGGUCGUGAGGUGGCUAUCAAAAGGGCUGAAACCAGUUCUAAGAUGAAGGAGUUUCAAGAGUUAUUUGGCUAUUUAUCCCUUUUGCCCUGCCUACACCAUAAUCACUUGGUUGGGCUAGUUGGAUUCUGUAAAGAGAAAGAUAAAAGGUUCUUGGUGUAUGAGUACAUGAAGAAUGGGGCGUUAUAUGAUCAUUUGCAUGACAAAAAGAAUGUGGACAAGGAGAGCAGUGUGUUGAAUUCUUGGAGAAUGAGGAUCAAGAUUGCUUUGGAUGCUUCCCGGGGAAUAGAACACCUUCAUAAAUAUGUAGUUCCAACUAUUAUUUACAGAGAUAUCAAGUCUUCCAACAUUCUUCUUGAUGCUAAUUGGACGGCAAGAGUAUCUGGUUUUGAAUCGUCGUGUUUCAUGAGUCCAGAAGCUGAGCAUGUUUACACGGAUAUGGUUACCGCAAAGAGGGAUGUGUACGGGCUUGGAGUUGUGCUGCUUGAACUUUUAACAGGAAAGAAAACUACAUUCAAGUAUGGGUCAUAUAGGUGCACACGUAUGGUGAACAUUGCACGACAUGUUAUUUUGGAUGGGAAAAUGGUGAACGUUUUGGAUCCAAGGGUUGGAGCACCCCAUGGAAAUGACGAAGCAGAGGCACUGGAAUUAGUGGCCCAUACAGCGGUCAAUUGUGUAAAUUUGAACAGGAAAGAUAGGCCAACUAUGACUGAGGUAGUGGCCAAUUUGGAGACAGCUUUAUCACUUGCCAGUGAUAACAGAAAAACAGACCAUUUGCACUAUUUAUGACAAUUUAAUCUUACACAAUGUAUAUACACAUGCCAUCACUCAUUAAAGUAUCAUGACGCUGAAUACUAACAUUUUUUGACAAUUUUUUUUUCCGGUAAAAGUUGGGGAUCCCUAGCAUUGCAGUAGUUAUUAGCAUGGUUAUCAAACUCAUUAACUCGGACGAGUUACAUUCCUAGUCAUAGCUUCUGAGUUAACUUGAAGGAAACUCGUUUUCCAACUAGAAUCGGUGGAAUCGUUCGAACUCGCGAGUUUGUAAUGGUUUGGCGAGUUCGAAAGAAGAAAAAUUUGAAGCCAAAUCAUAGUCGUUUGGAGGGGAAAAAUCACCUGGUUAGGGCUCCAAUCUUUUGAUAUUAAGCCCCUUCUUCUUCGUUCUCUGAGCUACAUCACCCUUUCGCCAUCGCGUCACUCCCUCUGGCCAUCGCACUCGCCGUCGACCAUCAUCUCGUAGCUGUCCUUGGUCGUGUCACCCUCGCGUCACUCUCUGUGCAAAGCUCCCAAACGGAGCCAUCGCCGACAUAGGCGCUGGUGGCACCACCUACGCCCUUCUGCUGGAUCGCGUGAGCUUAUUCUCGCUGUGUUUCCCUCCCAACAAAGGAAGUGAGGAGGUGCGGGGUGGCGCAGGAAAUGGGGAUAAAAGAUAGGAUUAUUUUUUUACUUUGGGAUAGAAUGGGUAUUAAAAAAAUUAGGGAGGUGCAGAAGAAAUAAAUGGGGUGCAAGAAGGGGCAGCCCCUCUCCACACUGCACAAUGAUGAUUAUUAUGUGUUUAUUUUUUAAUUUUGUAGUGAAAAAUUAAAAUUAGACCAUUAUGUCUGGAACAAAUUUAACAGUGACACCUUGCACAUCAGAUCCAUCAUGGGCUCUGAUACCACUGUUGGGGGAGGUUCAACACACACAUAGAACUUGCUUUGGACCAAGUUUUCACGGGUUUGCUUUUGGUACCACUCCAAAAGACCUCUUACCAUUAGAAAUAUCUAUGUGUAUAUAAACCCUUGACCAGUCCUUCUUUCACUCAAUGUGGGACUUUGUUUGCUCUCUAAGAGAAGAGACAGUGUGUAAGAAAGAUAGCUAAGAGUGGGUCUCUUUCAUUGGGCUAGGAAAACGGUUUAAAGUUUCACUUUCUCAAUUUGUAGCUGCACCUCCAUGUUUUACUUGGGCAGUAUACAGUGCUUAUUAAAAGUAUUGGAGUAUAUUUGGGAGCAUUCAAUGUCAGUGACUUUUCUUCUCAAGUCAAUAAUGCCACGAGAGAAGUUUCGGAGAAGAUUCAAGCAUUCCUUCAAGGAAUGUGAUAAUUAUAAUAUCUAUUAUUCUAUCUAAGUUAUAUACAAUAAUCAAAUAGUAGAUAACACAUAUCAAUACUGUGUAUGAAUUAAUGGAGUUUUUGAGUAAAAAAUCUUGAAUGAUGUGAAAACUUGAAGUGAUUCCACACGAAAACUAAUAUUUGUUAUGAUGCAUAAGAUAUGUGACAGACUUUUGUUACUCUCAAUCAAUCAGAAAAUUAGAAUAUAUUCUCUCUCUCUAUAUAUAUAUAUAUAAUGUUUAAAUAUUUUCUUUAUAUUAAUUAUACUAAAUUCUCUAAUUUCACGAUACGAAAUUAACUUGUAUGUGUGAUUAUGUAUGUAGAUCUAAAACUAAGCUAAUAUAAUACAUUAACUAAAUUAAUAUGUUGAUAUAAGAUUAUGGUAUUCACAUAGAAUAAAAAUUUAUAUAAAAAUAUCAUAUAAACAUGCCUUUUUUUCUUAUUUACAUUUAUCAGCAAUUUUAAUUAAUAAUUUCAUUAAACAUUUAUGAUAUAAUAAUUCACCUUAACUUUCUACUACCUAGUUUUUAGCUUUCAACUACUCAUUUCUAAAUAAAUAUUUAAAGAUUUGGAUACAUAAAACAAAAUUUUUUACACAAACUCCGAAGGUCCAACUCAAAAAUGCUUCAGUGGCUCAAAAAUCAAUUAAUUCAUUCGACCAUAAUUUCCUAACAUUUCAACUUCGGAAACGCUCAGGAUGUCUAAAUAUUCUUCCUAGACUAGGAUUAAAGAAUGCAUGGAACCAUAAAAAGCCCAUGAAACUUGCAUCAGACAUAUCCACAUUGAAAGGGAAGAAAAAUAAUGUAAUCAGACUAACAAAAAGGGGUAAUGAAACUGAUAAUCAUUUGAUUCGAGAAUAUCUUUGUCUUUGUUCAUCCACUUCAUUCAUCCAAUCUGAGAGCCGUAAAAGUCCCUUGUACCAAUAAUAUGUAGCAGCAACAAGAAUGAUCAAUAUAAACACAAACAGAAGAAACCGCUUCGCUCCGGAAAUUAUUUUCUGUUCAAUGAUUCUCAAGUAGGUCAGCAAAGAAAAAGACAACUGGAACUUAAAUAUGGCUCGAUUGUUAAGAAAAGUAACAUUACCUGAAGUUUUGAUGUUUCCUUGGAUUCAAGAACCCGUUCUCUCCUUUUUCUUCGCUUUCGAACUGAUUUUUCUGCAUCUUGAUCUUGUACCUUCAAUAAUUACUAAAGUAUUAGACACUGCCACGGCACAUCUCAAUAAAGGCAUGCCUCCUCAAUUUAAUGAAAACAAAGAAAAUCAACAUAAUUUAGAAAUUAGAGUAGGUAGUUUAUGCACUGACAGUGUGAAGUAUCAUCAAACCAGAAAUAGACGUAAAUGGUAUGUUUAUUACCUUUUAUAUCGUAUUGGUUGAAAUUUUAAUUUUAGAACCUUUGAUUUCUUAUGUAUGCAGCCGUGUAGGGGUAUUGUCAAUGUAUAAAAUGAGGCUAACAUUCUCACAAUGUAAUGAAAAUAUUUAUAGGUAUUGACAAUUUGUUUCAGCAAAAUAAACGUGUAUGGUAGAAAAACACGAAGAAUUUCACUCUUUCAUUAUCCUUUUUUCCAUCCCUCUCUUAAAUUAGUAAGUAUCAUAUUUGUAAUUUGAUGAAACAACAGAGCAUCCAAAAAUAACACUACAUGUCGCCACACAUCAAUAUCUAUAUGUAUUUGUGGUUUUGUAUAUAACUCUAACUUGGUUAUGAAAUUUAUUAAGACCAUAAAUGGCACUGCAAACACAAAGAUGCCUGUACAAAAGGAAGAAUUUUAGAAGUGUGAAUGUUAGGAGCUCGAAAGUGUAUGAGAGGAGAAGAUAUAGGAGAGAGGGAGAAGAGGACCGAACGGUAGAAGAGGGUGAGCAAACAGACCGAACAGGGGAAGACAGGGGCGAGCGGACUGAACGGUAGACAAAGAAAAGCAAGAUAGCCGAACGAUAGAAGGUGGAGCACGGUUUGACCGAACGGUAGACAAGGGGGAGCGAGGGCGGGACAUGAGUUGACCGAACGGUGGACGAGGGGGAAUGACCACACCGAGUGGUUGGAAGCAACGAGGAAGCAUCCUAACUGCCUCAACGGUUAGGAUGGACAGGAAACUAAUUAGAGUAAUGAGAGCUUUUCUGAGAGGAUAUUCAGCCAGAGUUAUUGAGAGUAAACAAGACCAUAUCUUAGGAUAUUAUUUGGUAUAAGUUAAAUAUAGGAAAUAAGGCUAAAUAUAUUUGUAUAAGUUAAUUAUAGCAAAUAAGGUUAUUUUCUAAUAUUCAGUAGAGGUUUGGAGCGGGAAAUAUUUAGUAUAAAUAAAAGGGAAGCCUAGGGUAAAAGACAUGCUUUUGAUUUGUUUGUUUUGUAAGAGAGGUUAUGUUCUCAGGCAAGUGAUGGUGAACCCGCUUCCAGUCAUUGUUUGCUUUCUUUGAUUCAGUUAUUUCCAUUCAAUAAAAGAGGUUUAUUCAGCUAUUUUCCAUUAUUCCUAGUUUGUGAGUGUGUGAGGAAGUUUUCUAGUUCCGUCCCAUACUCAGGUACGUAACAGUGAACAAACCUUAUAAAUAAAGUAUAAAAGAUUAUAGAGUACAUGUUGGAAAGUGCUGACAGAAUCAUGAUUACCUCAGUAACCCUAGAUUUACGCAAUUGUAGUUCUGACUCAACAACCUGCACUUUACUCUUACAAUCAGAAUUGCAAGGAAUUAGUCCAAUUCCAAAUUGAUUUUUUGGUGUGUCCCUUGGAUGGCAACCCAUAAGAUGAUACGCUGCUUGAACAUCUUGACAAACCCACUCUUUUUUCAGUGUUUGGCAUUUGCAACGAACUGUGACCUGUGAAGAAUGAUUUCAUAUUUUAGAAGUCAAAUUGAAUCAAUAAUAGGUGUAUUCAUUUGUUUAGAAUGCAGUAGCAAGAAAACUAGUACAAAAACAUCGCUUGAGCUAAUUGUGUUAUGAUUAUUGAGUCAUGUAGUACCUUUUUACAGCAUUUCUCUGCAUUUGUGCACUCACCGGGAUGACAUGUCUCUGGGCAUAGAUGCGUGCAAUUUGGCAACUUUCUGCAAAACAUGAGAAAAAUAGGGCUGUCAUAUAAUUUUACUAACCAAUUAAUAGAACAAGAAACAAGGAAGAGAGAGGAAACAAAGUCUAACAGAGAUUUAGAACUUACAGUUGGUUUCAAGGGCUAAACUAGAUUUUAAAAAAAAAAUUGCUAGUCUCUAAUUACCUAUGACAUGGCCCACCACAUGAACGGACAGUCUCUUGAUCCUUUGCAGACAAGCUAUUGUAAUAUAUACACUCAAACACAUGAACCAUUGCACCACAGUGACAUGACCGCUUAAUGAGCACCUUGCAUGGAGGACAGUCUCCAGGAUGACAUGACCGAGGGCAAUUGUGUGGACAUGCAGGCUCUCUUUCCUGAUCAAUGCAGUUAACACAUCAACCAACAAACUAUCAGUUCUAAUUUUAGAAAGCAUACAGGAGAGUUUCUCAAUUUUACACAGGAAGACAAAUAAGAAACUUCAUUGAGCAUAAAUCCAGUGAUAAAAAUAGAGAUUACAAAAAACCAUAAAUAAAGCCACCAGUGCAAUAUAAAUAGUAAAAUUAAAUGGAUUAAUGGAAUUCAGGAGGAUCUAACACCUUCUGGCAACGAAGAUAACAAUCUUCACAUGGUUCACUUCCUCGUAAUUGGCUAUCCAAGGCAUGACAGGUUUUUGUACAAUAAUGAUUGCCACAUGGUAGAGGAUUACCACAUAAAUUUUCACAGGAGAACUGUGAUUUAUCAGAGCAAACCAUCUGAUAGUAGGGUGAAAAGAAAACAGCAACUGUAUUAGCAAUAUAAAAGAAGUUGCUUUUGGUCAAAUUAAUCAAAUAUUGCACAUCCAAGUUCAUAUAGAGCUUUGAAGAUAUGCAAAACAAACCAUUCUGUCAGCUCCAAUGUGUUGUCCAACACAUGAUCUCCACACAAGUUCAGGGCAAGGAGGGCAUGGAGUGCCAGGAACACCUUCACUUUGUUGUAUAAUCUUCUUUUUCUUGGGUUUCAGAGUAAACUCUGGUUUAGGAGGAGGCUUAGGACCAUGACACCUUCACAAAGACAAAGAUAUACCUAAAAGUUAAGUGUAUGGACUGGUUGUUAACUCGUGAUACUACUAUGAGCCACAUGCAUUACUUUGCCAAGACUCAAGAACAUAAGUAGAGACCGCUGAAUCUUUGUUUUAGGACUUUCCAUUCAUGCUAAAUUUCAAAAAAUCCAAAGGCCUAACAUGCAGGCAUUGGUUUUAUCAUAAAUAAAGAGAAACUUUUAUCAAACCUUAAUUUGCAUGUAUGGCCACAUUGAUACUCUCUGGCACAAGGUAGCCGACAAGGAUGGCAGGCUCCAUAAUGGCAUUUAUGCGGCUACACAAAAACAUAACUUGUUAACAACAUAAAAAUAAAAAACAUGAACCAGAAAAAAUUAAGGAUACACUUCAUUUCGUAAAACUAAAGAAAAUUUAAGUAUAAUAAUGAUAUCUAUGGAUAGCUUUCUAAUCAUUCAGAUUUAGAGAAAAGCAACACUAGAAACUUGUCGUCAAUAUAUACUGUGAAUAUUUAUUUUAUAAAAAAUAAUUGCAUAAUGAAAUGUAAUCCUCCAUUUUCAAAUUUAACUGUACCAAGCAUUGAAGGACAUCAACUUUAUUAUAUAAUGGAAAAUUUCAACACCAGAAACAGUUUCAAAUAGAACAGAAAGCUCUAUUUCGAUUGUGGAAUUUGUGAAGAAAUCCAAGAACAUGUUAAUCCUCAAGAAAGUAUAUUCUAUUGUACAGACUUAUUACUGCUCUUUCACAAGAUUAAAAAUUUAACUUCAGUAAUAUACACAGCCCGGUUUUUUAAAAAAUAAUAGUUAAAAUUUUAUCUGAAAGCAAGAAAAAAGUAUACUCGAAGCUACAAAUUAUAUUGAAGAAAUAUGAAAGACCUAAAGCUACAAAUUCAUAAAUCUCUUUAUAACAGUUAAAAAGCAAAAUUCAUGACUUGUAAUAAGAGAAAAUAACAGUGAUGAAAUAGGGAUAGCAACAGGUAAAACAUCAUAUAAAUGGUUAUACUCAAACCAAAUGAAAGGGCUGUACAACAGAAACCUGCUCAAACUCAUUCAAAAAUACUCUACAAUAUCGCAGGUUUGUCUUGGUAGAAAACGAUCAUACUGUAAAAUGAUAAUACUUCAAGUUAAAUCCAUUAAAUUAGAGCUUAUAUUAAGGAUACAAAGACAAAUUUAUACUUCAUAUGAUUAACUUCUGCUCAAAUACUACGGGUCUUGUCUUAUAUUUGAAAUCAGCCAAAAUGGCGAGAAUUAGAUACUCAUGAUGAUUCUGAUGAAAUAAGCUUCUUUACAUAAAAUUUUAAAUGUCAAAUGCACAUUUUAUCUUUGACAGUAAGCACUACUUCAAAUUCUAGACCUCAAGGAGAGAUAAAUCUUAUUAUCUUUUCCCACUUUCCCUUAUGUUCCAAUUAAUUAUACAGUCGUACAAAAAGAUUAUUUGUUUGUUAUAUCGAGAGCACAACCAUGUAUAGGAGACCAGGGAUCAAAUCCCAAGAAUAUAAUGGGGAAUCAAAAUUAUUUGAUUUUAAAUCUCUAAAAGGUUUGAUAAAAAUACCACAGUAGAAUGGGGAUGGACACCCUAUUAAAUAUAUCAUAUUACCAUUAAAAGAAAAAAGAGAAUUUUUCUUCUAAAAUAUUUUCCUCUACCAUAGCUUCAGCAGACUAUAAAUAAAGUUUAUCUCUGAUUGAAAAUGUAAAUGCCUGAGUAAAAACAAGUCAUAUCAAAUGGUACCUUGCAAUUUGAUGCAUGCCGACAUAAAGGAGUGAUAGGACAUGGUUUGGGACAUCUAGGAGGUUUUUGGUCCAUUUCCGUACCACAAGGAACCUGGUAGAAAAUCCACUACUCAUCAUAAUACAUUCCAGGCCAGUUUUACUAAAAAUUGAAGAAAUCCAAGCACAUAGGAUCAAGUUCCAGAAUAUCAUAUAAGAUAACAGUGCCAUUUUGACCAAAGGAAAAGAGAUAAUAGACCACCAUAAACAAACACAAAGGAAGAAGUAAUAAAGAAUACCAGUGUUUUUAUGUGCGUGUUUACUGACCCAAACAACCGGCAAGAUUAAGAUCAAUUUACUUACAUUAAAAUACAAAAGUCCAAAGGAAAUAGCAAAAAGUAACCCAUUGUUUACAUGAUCCCUGAACUUCCAAUAUUUUAAAUGAAAAUGCAUUAGACAAGGCUGGUCUCACACGUAAUAUAUAAAUAGGAACAUCACACUGACUACAAAAUACAGCACAUAAAUUAAAACUAAUAAACCUCCAUAUUUGAUACUAUGCAUUUACCUUUGAUGUUUCCCAGAAUAUUUUCAAAACUUUAAAUGACUUUCCGUCAUGUAAAUUACCACUGUAUUACAACACGACUGUUGUUCAAAAACAAACAUGAUAUUUUGUUAAUCAACUGUUCAACACCAAAGAGACCUCCCCACAAUUAAAUCAAACCUGUUAAUGACAAUUAUGAGCUCUGAUUUCUGUUUUCCAUAUAAAAAGAGUAUACAAGUCACAGCCCUCAAAUAAUUGAGGUUUUCCCUUUUGGUGCUUCAAACACGUAAAAUAAAUUCUUCUUAAGUGUUCCUUCUGAAAGUUAUCAAAUUACUCCCGAUUCCAACAUCAUCUAGCCAUCGACUUCCAUGAAUUAAUCAGUUAAUAGUAUUAUUUUACAGAAACGUGUUAACAAUGUUCAAGAAUGUCAAGUUUCAGAAAAACAAUUAUAACUGACCUUUCCAAUAAUCACAAACAUGCACAUUUGAAUAAUUAUGUCAUGUAAUAGGAUAAGAUCAUGCAACAAUUUAGAUGUACUCAUGCUCUCAUGGAUAACUCCAGAUGUCCGCAUUCAUUCAUACCUCAAAUCGUGUCUCUCCACACGCACAUGAAAUUGUCACCAUUAUUGGGCAAGGAGCACAAGGACCUCUGCAAGAACAAAGUUAAGUAUCAUGAUGAUGUAUUCUUCCCAAGUUAGAGAUUAAAAUAUAGUUCUGUACACAUAAUAUCUAUAAGUGAUAAUGUUAAUUUUUACCAUUAUCUUAGCUAUCUUUUAUUAACAAAAUCAACUUUUCUCUAGCUUUUAACCCUCUUAAUUCUCAUUUAAUUCUCAUUUUUAUCUUGCUUUUAUAAAUAAUUACAUUGUGGGUUACACUAAUAUAAUUUUACCACUAAUCCCCAUUCUUUUGUGCUGAUUUUCUGUCGAGAAGAUUUUGUCUCACCCAAACAAGUUUGCAAUCUCGAGCAGCGUGAAGAAGCAAUCAAGAACAUGAAUUGAGAGAAGUAUAGUUUUGUUGAGUGCCACAAAAGCUGCACCCAGUGCCACAAAGUCAAAAACUAAAUCGAGCUCCAUAGUUGGCCAGCAGCGGGCGGCACCUACACAGCGUCAAGUGCCAGCAAAUCAGAGAAUCCAGCCAUUUGAGGGCUGGCCAGCGCCAAGCGCCACUCAACUGACACCACUUAUGCUGACAUGGCAAUUUUGUCCUAUUUCUACUUGGUUGCUCGAAGAGAAGCAAAUAUUUGAAUGUUGGGAGCAUGAAAUACACUCCUGGAGAGCUUGGAGGUCUGCUAGGGCUUGUGGGAACCAUCCCUUCUUCCUUCUUGUAUCUCCGUCUUCUUCCACCUUUCAUUUUGUAAGCUUGGGCUCUCCAUGACAAUGGAGAGCCAAACCUAUUUUGUUGGGAUAGAUAUAACCACUAAACUCUUGUGUAUUUUGCAAAUGAUUUGAAAUAUAUAUACGCCUCUUCCAUUAAAUGCUAGUAUUCUUGUUUCUUAACUUAAUGCUUGCUUUGAUUUAGCCAUUCAUAGCUUGAUACUCGAUUCAUUAGGUGUUGAAAAAUAUCUUUUGAAACAUACACUUGGAACAAGAUACCUAAUGAAGCUUGCAUCUAGGAAUGGAGCUUGACCCAUUAGUUGUCUUAAACCCUAGUUAUAAAGUGGGUUUGUUUAUUAAGGGUUUAAGGGAUUGACUCAUAAUAAGGAAACCUAGACUCAUUCUACUAAGGGAUUAGGGUUUGAGUAGACUUGUGGGUUGAUAUUAGUAUAUUAAUGGAGAGAAUGUGAAUUUUUAUAUGCAUGAGAGUGAAGUCAGGUUUGUUUAUCAGGGGUUCACGGGAUUGAUUCUUAAAAAGGAAACAUAGGUUCAUUCUACUAAGGGAUUAGGGUUUGAGUAGACUUGUAGGUUGGUUGAUAUUAGUAUAUUAAUGGAGAGGAUGUGAGUUUUUAUAUGCAUGAGAGUGAAGUCAGUGAACUCUAAUCCCAAUAAUAGCAUUCCAUAUCAUUUCUUGUCUUUUCCACGGUCUAAGUGUCUUUAACUUCCAAAGUUCAUCUUUAUCAUUUAUGCAUCAAAUUACUUUCUUGUAAAUAAUCUCAAAGUAUGAAAAUAUUCUUUAGUCUAAACUAGUUAUCAAUGGUACAAUUAUUUGGUAUUGCACAAGUUCCUUUUGGUUCCUAUAUUCUUUUUAAAUGAUAGUAGUAUUAUGUUCCUUCUCUAUCUAGUCUAUUGUGAUCACAUUUUAAGACACAUGAAUUGAGAUUCAUGUGCCAAAAGGACCUCGGUAGCAGCAUAUGGAUAAGAACUUAGAAGAGCUUAUAGUUGCAGGCAGAUAACAGGAUUCAGCCCUAAGGCAGUCGGGAUGGCCCGAUCUCAGCCGAAAAUUGACCUAGCAUGGGUUUCAGACUAAAAAUUGAACAGGCUGACCUGAUUUCAGCUUAGAUCUAAUAGCAUAUGGGAAUCAUGAAUCUAAUUUUUAAAAAACAAAGAAAGUAGUAUUUCAGUUAUUUACCUAGUUGCCUAAAGGAUUACAGAUUCGGCUCCAGGUAACACAGACCGAGGACAUACCUAUGACAUGGAGAAGGGCAUUUAUGGUUCUUACAUCGAAGCCUCCUUCCGCAUAUCUAACAAUUUUCAUAAACGAAAAAAUAAUCAAUGUCAUCGCCAUCACAACUCAUAAGUCUCUUGCCAAAACAAAGCAGCUACAAAAACAUGCACGCACCUCUGAGCAGGGAGGGCAAUCCCCAUCACAGCAGCGCCGCUUGCAAGCAUGCCGACAACAGUCACGCAUCCUCUGACACUUCCUUUCACAUGCCAAAUCUUGAUAGCAAGGAACCUACUCUAAGUUCAAUCAACCUUACCAACCAUAAACCAAAACACAUCCAAAUUACCAUAAAAAAAAAGCACAAGAAAUCACUUACAUCUUUCUUGAGGCUCCCGCAUCGACAGGACUUCUUCACAACAACCCUACAAGUCUCAACGCACUGUCCACGGUGGCACCGCUCUGGGCACCUGUGGUAGCCACAGGGCAACAUCUUAUCACAGGUAGCCCCACAAAGCUGUACAGAAGCAUCACAAGGCAUUCCUUCAUAAAUCCUUUUCCCACAAGGGCAUGUUCUCUUCCCCUUGAGGGGACACUCACCACACUCCCCUGAAUGACACCCUCUCUCACAAACAUGUUUCCCACAGCUAAGCCUCUUCUCACAAGGAUGAUCGCACUGAAAAACACGAUCACAACACUCCUUCUCCUCUUUCACCUUCCUACACUGGCAGGCAUACACGCCACGUGUCCGGCAAGGAGGGCAAGCGCCACGGUGGCAAACCUCGGUGCAAUGGUGAGCCCCACAAUCCAAAACCUUGGAACACGGAUUAUUACAUGAAAAUUCCUUGAAUCCACAUCGUCGAACAUCUUCAAUGCUCCCGCAAAAGCAUCUAACUUUAACGAGUUUGGGGCAAGAAGGGCACGGCCCGGGAUGGCACAGUAACAAGCAAUGGUGCCCGCAAUUGUGCUUCAAGGGUCUUCCGCAGACCUCUCCGCAAGAAUGUGGCAAAACCCACGGAUCGUUGGGAGGGUUCUCCACCUUCCCGCAGAAGCAGAGAUACAUCUUGGGAAUGAGAGAUUUGGGGUACUCCGAUCUGCAUUUGGGGCAGUUCCAGAGGGCCGUGUCGUAGGCCGUGGCGGCGGAGAUGGGGAGGCGAAUGGCAGCGCGUGCGGCGGCGAGGUCCGAUGCCUGGCGGGCCCAGCUCUGGAUGCAGAUGAGGUGGAAGACGGCAAAGCAGAGGGAGGAGCAUGACCAAGUGGGGUCCGAGGGUUUGAUCCGUUCGAGGCAGAUGAGGCACGAGAGAGCACCGGCGGAGGAGGACGUCAGGAAUGAUUGGAUCUUCGAAAGGUCGGCACCGGAGUGGCCGGAGAAUUCGAGGUAUGGCUUGAAUAUGGAGUCGGAGAGGUCGGAAUGGCGGUGUGCCUCCGUGCCGGAGGAAAGGCCGUCUGCGUCGGAAUCAGAGUCGGAGAGUAUGGUUGGCGGUGGCGGGGAAGGAUGAGAGAGGGGACGAGUCCAGGCUGAUGUCAUGUUGGCAGUGAUGUCUAAUGGGACUCUGCCUCAGAUUCUUUUACGCUAUUGAUGUUCUUGUUUGUCUUCUUACUUCAAUACUGUUUUUUCUGUAUUUUCAUUUUUGUGUCGAUUUUAAAAGUGCAAUGGUUUUUUUAAUCCUCCUAUCUUACUCUAGAGGUAGUAAUACAUACUCUUUUAAGUAUUAAAAUAAAUUUCUAAUCUCCAUAAUUUUAGUUUUAUAAAAAACGAUCCGUUCAUCACAACUAAUAAAACAAUUACAAAUAUCAACACAGAAAUAUUUAAAUACAGAGAUAAAAAGGUAAUUAAAACAAAAAUAACCAAAAUUACAGAAUCAAAAUAAAAAUAACCUCACAACAACUACGAGCAAAGGGGUUAUUUUUUAAACAUCAUUUGUAUAAUUAAAAUGUAUUAAAACUCUAUUUUGAUAAAUUUAUGUCAAGAAGAUCAUUAUAAAAGAAAGAAUUAUCUUUUUAGUUCCUAUACUUUGGGGGUAAUUUUGAUUUUAGUCAUUCUUUCAAAUUAAGAUAUAAUUUAGUCAUUCAUCUUUAGAAAACUCUGGUUUUAGUCUUUUUUAUCAAAUUUUUUUAACUUUAUUUGUUGUUUCAAGCACGUUUCAUUAUAGUAUUUGGAUUGUUUACACUAUUUGAGACAUUUUUUCUUCAAUAUUAACUGAGAAACGGCGUUUGAAACAACAAAUAAAGUUAAAAAAAUUUGGUAAAAAGGACUAAAACCAGAGUUUUCUAAAGUUGAAGGACUAAAUUAUACCUUAAUUUGAAAUAGGGACUAAAACCAAAAUCACCCCCAAAAUAUACAGACUAAAAACAUAUUUAACCCUAAAAGAAAAUUUUCUAUAAUAUGAAAAGUAGAUCUAAGAUAUUGAAAAAUGUUGUUUUAAUAAUUUUUUAACAACUUUUUUAUAAUAAUAACAUGUGAUUAGUCUAUUUAAUAAAAUUGUGAUAUAUUGUCUAUUAUCCAAAAAUUAUUAAGAAAAAUUAUUAUCGUAUCAUAAUCACUUAUCAUUUCAGAGAGCUCUCUCUUUGAUGAAUUUAUAACAUUUAAUGAAAUGUAUUUUUGGUUUUCUUAUUUUCUGAUUUCAAUUUAAUUAAAAAAGAUUUUAUUGUUAUACACUUAACAUUUUGAUAUGGGAAAAUGUAUAUCUUUUAUUAUACCCAAUGACUCUCUGUCAAUCAUAAAUUAAACUAUUAAGACACAAAUAUGUCAUUAUUAGGACCUGAUAAUUAAAAAGUCUAAUAGAUCAAUCAACAAUGAAAGUAAUUAAUAUUAAAAUUAAACAAUUUAUGAGUAAAAUGUCAUUAUUAACAAUUGGGUGUAAUUAGACCAUUGUCUAUCACAACUAAAAUUUAUAAAUAUAAAUAUGAAAUAAAAGAGAAUGAGUCUAUUGUAUUAUCCAUACAUCUUUAUUAUUUUAUAUAUAAUUUAAAAAAAAAAAAAACAUAAAACUGUUGUACUAAAAAGUGAAGGUAAAUUUUACUUAAGAUGUUACUGUAAUAUAAGUUUUCCAUAUUUAUGAUUCCAAUAGUUUUCGUUUAUUUAUGCUUUGUUGUUUAUAAUUUUUUUCCCUUCCAUAUGAUGCACACUUAAUCUAGUUGGAGGAAUCAAAAUCAAGCAAUUCAAGUCUCAUUCUAACUCACAUCACACCCUUAUAUUUUCAGUGAAGGACAAAAUAAAUAAAAAUGAUCAUUCAACAUAAGCACCAUUUACACCACACAGCUACGUAAAGACUCUUACUAUAAGAUUUUUAAAGACUGUAGAAAAACGGAGGAGAAGGAUGCAAAAAUCAAAUGAAUUCAAAGCGCAUUAGAAGCUUCACAUUGUGGUACUUUUCUCCUUUGCGGGAAUAUAAUGGAACUGCACGAAUUCCACUUCUCAGUUCCCACACAGGUAAGCAAGUUUGGCCACCAAAGUCAUCUUUCUCAGACAUGUCAUAUUCAUGAACUUCUACACGAAGCAGAGCCAGUUCUGGAACAGAAAGUGGAAACUUAAAUUCCUCAUUCCAUGAUGGAGACCAAUUAUCCUCCACGCUCUUUGUUUUUUUCAUAACAGUAUCAUAAGGGACUCCAGCAAUCCCCACCUGCAUCACAGUUUGUCAGAUAAUAACCACACGCAAGAAAUCAAAAAUGAAUUGAAAAUAUGGAUAUCAAAUCAAUGUAACACAAUGAUUCCAUACUCUUGCAUAGAAGUCAGGGGGUGAGUAUUGAUCAAAGUGCGUGUGCUUGAAAUCAUGAAACCAUCCUUCCCCCAUAUAUAUAGUCACCUAGAUAAGAGUAACAAAAGUAUGAGCUUUAGUAGGAUCUAUAUUUUAGACUACAGACACAGACAAAGGAACAUCAUUCAAUUCUCCUGGCAGUAGAGCUUUUACUUUCAAAGUUUUCUUCACCGGCAAACGAGCUUUAGGAUCAAAGACCUCAUUAUUAAGACCAGUCUUUAACAGAAAAUCUGGUUUCUUAACAUAACCACAUCCCCCAUUGGCUUUGAACAUUCCCUGCAUCAACCAGAGAGACCUACCGUAUCCCUGUCAUGGAAUGAAAACAGAUUAGUGCACAUCUUCCAUGACCUCAAUAUCAUUUAGUCAAUAACACACUGCAUCAUGUUACAUUUCAGUAUAACUUAAGUAAUUUUGAAUAAGAAAAUAUUCACUCUUUCUCACUCUUCGUCUGCUACCUCUCUAUCCCUUUUUACUUUCUAAAACUUCAUAACAAUCCAACAUCACCCACUUUCAUGCAUAUAAAUGGGGUAAGCCCAGAAUGCAGCGAAACACUAGUUAUCCUAAAAAGUACAGCCCCAAAUUUUAAAUAGUUCUGAUGUAUAAAAGUAUUUAUAUAUCAGAAACUCCAUAUGCACUAUUGUGUGUGUCUCUAUCUAUCUCUUUUAUUACAUUUUAUCUCCUAUCAUACAAGCUUUCCCAACUUUGAAAUGUUUAGUGUUUUAUCUUGUUAUUUAUUCUGUUAUUCAUACAACUCGUUUUAAGACCUUUUCUCUAUACCACUCCCCAUUAAAUCACCCGUUACAUCUCACACAUCUCUCUCUUUUGUCUCUUCUCUCUCAUUGUUGUAGAAAACAUUGUUUAAUUUAUCAUACAAAUUAUACUUUCUCCCAUUCUUGUAGAACUUAUUGUACAAUUUAUCCUACAAAUACAAAAAAUGAAGCAAAACGAGUAGGGAAGGAAGAAGUAGAAACCUGCAUGUUGAAUGCAACCAUCUGGGCUCCAUGCAUCCACCCGAUCAAUGGAUUAUAAUUUGUUGAGGCAAUACGAGUGCCUUUUGGAUACACUCUCAGUAUAUUCCGCUGAGUAAACCUGCCAACAACCAAGAAAGUAAUACUUCUCUUUUCAUUUGCAAAUAAACAAAACAUCCUGCUAUGGAUUUGUUUCAAAGCAGAAUAGAAUAGAGGGGCUUUGGAUACGUUUCAGUUUACAACAAAUAGGAAAAUCAUUAGGUAUGUCACCUAGAAAAUAACGACACAGAAGUUUCUAAUAUGGUUAACUACUCUAUCAGAUAGGUGCCAUUAACACAUGCAUUAAGUAGUCAGACACUAAGGCUUUAAACCAUCAAAAGAGCCUGAAAAUCUUAGCUAAUAACUAUCUAAUUCUGCCUCACAUUUCUUACAAGUGAAAUCGUAUAUUACAUAAACAAAAAUCCAUAAAACAAUCAUGUACAACUUUAUUCAAAAAUAUGUUAGAUCCAAUUCAUAACAAAUCGAGAGCACCCAAGCACUCACAACACAAAUGAGUAAGGACUAACCGAAAAAGGUUGGCAAUACCUUAUGAUUUCUUUGCCAUGAGUUUCAGCAGCCUUUUCAAGUUGUAGCUCACUUAAACUUAGACGUUUCACUGUAUCGGGAUCCACUUUGAGGCAUUCUGUUAAUCCACCUUUAGGCUUCCCAGCAUGAAUGGCAAUUAAACGUCUGUAUUCGUCUGAUGCAUUUUGACGUGAAUAUUCUGCUUCAUCAGUAUCAUCUUCAUUGUCAAGAUCAUCCUCAUCCUCGAUGUUCUACAAAAGAUGUUUAUCUAAACUAUGAAUCAACCACUCCCACCCUAACAGAAUUAAAUGCAGUGUUAAUUAUUAGUAUGCAACAUUGACUUAGAGUCUCAGACCUUGUGAUCAGAAAUAGUGCCACCUCUCAAACUAGGAACUUCUUUCCCCCAUGCUUCUUCAUCAUCUACAGGCUUUUCCUUUUGUGAUCCCUCCCCCUUUUCCUGAACUUCUUUUGCCUCAAUGUACUCCUUAGGUGGUUUGGUUGAUAUGAUAAUCCUCCUUUUAAGCGAUUUAGGAGAAGGAAAUUCCUUCAAGCUUUCAGAGCCAGGAGAAAAUAGUAUGUCUCCAAAUGUUUGAGUAAUCAUCUAAAAGUUUGAACAGGACUCAUAAGUGUCAAAUAUAAGAAUAUGAAAAAGAAGCAUUUUGAUUUCCUCAAGUCACUAACCUCAGCCACUUUGGCCUGAAGAUCGGGAGUAAGGUGGUCUUCUAAGGUUAUUACAACUGGAUAUUCUGAGGCAACAAAAGCAUACUGCUUAAUAGACCUCAAACAUUUGAUGAGGGCCACAGGAGAUGUCAAUGUCCUGUAUUGCAAAAAAACAAAAUAAUAACAUAGACAUUUUCAAACUGUUUAGGGAAAAAAUAUAAAUUCAGAUUGUCAUCAGUAAUAAUACAUUGGAACGCUAUCAUUUUCCUGCCAAGCCAUAUUGCAUCAUUUUUGUUUGCAAGUAGUAAAUACAUAAAUAAGUCUUCAUGUUAUUGCAGGAAAUAUCAUUUCCUCUGCAAAAUUUUUUUCUCUAUGCAAUGAAUGCUUAAGUUGGAUGGAUUGAUUUCUUUAAAACAAUACAUGAGGAAGGGGAGUAAGGGGCAAGGGAAACAAGGGAGCUGUGUUAAAUUCCCUUUUAAAAGUCAGCAAAAAUGAACUAAUAAACUAACCUUCCAUGAAGAACAUCCACAUCAUCCUUUGAUUCAUUAGGCCAUAUAUCUAAUUCAAUCACCCUUACACCCUUCUGCAGUGCCUUGAUGAUGGGGACGUCACUGCAGUCACUGCUUAGUUGGUUCCCAGUUAGAUAGGAAUUAUGACCAGUAUAAAUGAAGUAAUGAGACAACGGUGAAGACAUAUCUUGGUGCACCUGCAAAUGGAAGAGCAGAAAGAACAUAAUCACACAAGCACUACAGCAAAAAAAACAAAGUUCACAGUAAUCUAAUACAUGAUACAACAUCAAUAGUCCAAUACCUAUGCAAAGCUAAUUAUUUUUAUAGCAUGGAAGAUGUAGAAUUAUAACCAAAAUGAAACUGACCAAUAAACUGAGCUGAGACGAUCGUAUUAACUGUUGAGAAUUGAGCUUGAGAACUAUAGGGACUAAUGUGUUGGUAGAACAACAGCAGGUGUUUAGAUGAUACCAACACACAAAACUAUAAAAGGAUAGAACAUAGAGAACAAACAAAGAAAAAAAAACUGCUAAAUGGUGCUUUAAAAUACUUGUUAAGAGAUCAUCAAAUAAAAAGUUUUAUUGCUGGAAUUGCAUCAGAAACUACAGAGUAGUGUCCACUGUACAUUUCUAAUAUAAAAAUUCACUCGGUCAGAGUCUUGAGACACUUGCUUCUAUAAGGACAUGAUUAACAGAAUCUAAAAAGCAAAGCACAAGAAAACGAUCUAUUCAUUCAGAAACGGAAAGCGCAUGUAUGUGAAACCAUAAAUUUACCCCGAGAGAAGGCGAGAGAGGUGGAUUAUUAUUGCUACUGAAGAGGUAGUUGAAGAAACUCUCAAGAUUGAGACCCCUCCGGUGAAAGAUGCUGAGAUGCUUGUGGCCAUCGAUGAUGGCCUGUGCUUCCUCCUCAGUGACACUCUCCUCCUUCUGCACCUCAACCAGGAAACCGCGGACGUGAGAGGCUGUCAUGAUUCCAUUCUCAUCGGAAUAACGGUCGAAAAGGGUCCUUAUCUCCGGAGGGGCCUCCGACACGGGGAGACUGAAGCGGCGGCGGAAGCAGAAGCAAAAGCUGUAAGUCUGCUUGGACAUGCCUUAAUCAAUGUUUUGUUUUUCUUCACUCUCUGUGUGUGUCUCCCUCAACCCACUCCUUGAAGAACAUAUAACUAAUGGGGUGAAAGCCAACGGAGCGUGUAGUUUGUAGAUACGAAGAUGAGUGCGUGUGCGUGUUAGCUGUGUCUAGAAGAUAACACUUUGGUCGGAGAAUGAAUACGUUUCUUGUGUUAGGUGGCAAUGAAAAGGUUGUCUUGUCGUGGAUACGUUUCCAGAGUCAGCAUGCAAGAGAGGGACCCACUCCCAACCUCCAAUCUUUUAGAUGUUUGGCACUUGGCAGCUCCGUCUUUUUCUUCAAAUCAGCCGUCUCUUUCUGGCUCUCACCUCUUUCAACUCUUCAUAUCGAACUAAAUAUGGAAUGAAAUCUUAUUGUUAUCUUCAACACUUGUUAAAGAAAAUAUCAAAAGAUGCUCAUUUAUUGAUAAGGAUUACAUUCAUUCUAUGUGAACAAGAUAACACUUAUAUAUUUUGAGUCGAAAAAUCUUCUAAUGACUUUUUCUCUUGUUUAAUUCAUGAUCAACCUUUCAACACAUUGUCUUGAAGGAGCACACGAUCCAAUUUUAUAAUUGCGAUCAUACUGGUUAUGUUUUGUUAGUAAUUAGUUAUGUUAUUAUUUGUUAGUGAGGGAAGUUGAACUCAUAGUCUCUUUCGUCUUUUCUUACAAAUUUAUUAAACUAAUUUUAUAUUUUCUAAAUCUCUUUCAUCUUUUCUUACAAAUUUAUUAAACUAAUUUUAUAUUUUCUAAGUAUCACUAGUGGAAAAGAUUGUACAAUCUUUUCCAUUCUUUUUUCUUUAAUUUCAUCACUAGGUUAAUUUAUAUUUCGGAUCAUACUAGUCCUGUGCUGAUAUGUCCAGAAAAGAUAUGUAUGUGAAAUUUUCUUGGAGGAAGAAAAGAAAAAUAUGUUCUAUGAACUAUGUUCACUCUAAACUAUUAUCACGAUCGAGAAUCUAUGGUAAAAGUUAGCAAAAUACUGUCAAGACGUUGGAGCUGGUUUUUAGCAAUCAUACUGGUAAUAGACCAAUCUUUAGAACCACUGCAGUAACCACAGUAACGUUAAAAAAAGAGCAGAUCAGUAGUGCAUCGUAAAAGAGUUACACUCAUUUACGAUGUUUGAUGUUUGAUGAUGCAGAAAACAUGACACAGUAAAUCCAAAAAUACAACAGUAAGCGACUAAUGAUAAAGAUAAUUAUCAUUACAACGACCUCAUAUCCAUUAUAUUAGAUUAUUAUAAGGCUGAUCGGAUAAUUCAUCUAAACUGAAAUCGCAUUAAAAGCUUCACAGAUUUAUAUUUGUCACCCUUUUCAUCAUACAGAGGGACAGAUCGGAAUCCAGAUUUUAGUUCUGAGACUGGCAAACACGUCUGUCCACCGAAGUCAUCCUUUUGAUGCUUAUCUUCUUCUCGAACUUCUAUGCGGAGCAAGGCCAGCUCUGGAACAGUCAAAGGGAAAUCAAACUCUUCGUUCCAUACAGGAAACCAAUUAUUUGAAAUUACACUUGUUUUCUUCUUGAUCAUAUCAGCCGGAACUCCAACGAUACAAACCUGUGUAUGAAUUGACCAAAUGCUUAGGAUAUGGACUAUAAACUUGCUUCUAUCAAAAUUCUAGUCAUGGCCAAACAAUUUUUUUACGAAGUAGCCUGAUCAGAAGUAUAUAAAAUCCCUUAAGUAGUCUUAAAUGCAGUUGUAGAGGAGGUUAAAACAAACAUAAACAAAGCAAAUCCUCAAAUCCAGUUAUAAAGUGUCUCCUCAAACCAACGAAAGUUCAACUAUUUCCAUUGUUAUAUUCAUACUUCCCAAUCUGCAAUAUUAGCAUAAUUGCCCCACUCACCUUUACAUAAAAGUCUGGUGGUGAGUAACUAUCAAAGUCUGAUGGGCUGAAAUCUAAGCUCCAACCUUUUCCCAGGUAGACUUUUACCUACAGGCAGAGUAAGAUGCUCAGAACAUGUCACCAAACUAAAUGUUUUUCUUUCCAAUAUAAUAUCUCACCUUUAAUGUUUUUUUCACUGGCAAUGCUAUUUUAGGAUCAAAAACCUCAUCAUGCGGACCUUUUUGAAUUAGAAAGUCAGGCUUUUUCACAUAACCGCACCCACCAUUUGAUCUAAACAUUCCUUGCAUGUACCAAAGUGAUUUACCAUGCCCCUAAUAAAGGCAACACCAAAUCAGCAAAAGUCAGUACGCAACUUAUUCUAUUUCAAUAAACAUGUAAGAUUGCUUCACAAUAAAGAAUUGUCAAAAGAAUUAACAUUGGCUCAUUAGUUUCAUGCUUUAAAGUUCACAUAUAUAAUAAAUACUAUAUGUAGUACGGAUUAAAGUUAUAUAGAGUGAAUAACCCUUUGAAAAAAGGACACGAUGAUCAUUAGUCUCAAACCUGCAUGUUAAACGCAACCAUCUGAGCUCCGUACGUCCACCCUAUGUGUGGUUUGUAAUUUGAGGAGGUGAGACGUGUUCCUUUUGGAUACACUCUGAGAAUAUUGUUGUGCGUAAAUCUAUAAAAAGGCAUAAAAGUAUGUCGUAUAGUUAGGAAGUUUUAAACUACCAAAUAUAUAAUUAUUUGCAUCUGCCAUUACGAAACUUCAUCGUUAGAAACCUACCUGACUAUAUCAGCUCCAUAAGAUUCAGAAGCCUUUUCAAGUGCUUGCUCACUCAAGCUUAAGCGCCUAACUUUACCAGCAGCUUUUAAUUCAUCCUGUAUUUCACCCUUCGGUUUCCCAGCAUGGAUUGUAAUCAAGCGUUUGUACUCUGGUGCACUCUGGUAAAGGGAUUUUUCAUCAUAUAUGCAUUCAAAUCAUCCUCAGUUAGGAGGGAAAGGAUUACGUAAACAUGCAAAAGAUAUAAUAUAACAUAGCUCAAGUAGUUGGGAACUUAAAAUUUAGGUAGAAAGUGAUCGAAACCAUCAACUCACAGAACUAUUGACAAAAUGAAUAAAAGAAGAUGAAGCCUUGUAGAAAGAGACUCUACACAUUUAUUUCUUAAGAAACUUUGAAAAGUUUAAUAAUUUUUCUUAUCUUCCUCUGUUUUCUUAAAGAUGAUUUUACCAGAAGGUCAUAAGUCUCAAUUCUAUGGAUUUAGAGAAAAACUAUAAAUCAACUUCUGUCAAUAUGCUCACCUCAUUAUCCGUUCUUUGUUCAUUAGCAUUUUCUCGCAAUGAGGAAACCUCGUCAGCUGAUUCCUUUUCACUGGAUUCAAGAAAUUCUUUUGGUGGUUUUGUUGAUAUAAGAAUUCGACCUUUCAAUGAUUCUGGUGAGGGGAAUUCCAUCAGGGAAUCUGUCUGAGGAUAAUAAAGCAAUUCUCCAAAUACUUGGGUGGCCAUCUACGUACAAGAAGAUGGAAACUCAGCAUUCAACACCUAAUAAAAUAGGAAUGUGAAGUAGAUGCUUUGGGGGAAGAGAACAAAAAGGAGUCCGACCUUUGCAACUUUGGCUUGAAGAUCUGGAGUAAGGUGAUCUUCUAAAGUUAUAACGAGUGGGUACUGAGAUUUAACAAAGGCAUACUCUUUUAUGGACUUCAAACAUUGGAGGAGUGAGACAGGAGUGGUAAGAGUCCUGCAGAAAUUCAGUAGAAGCGUCUGUAAGUAGUUUUACUACAAUAAAUAUCUCAAAAAACUAGAAUGAUCGAAAUAUUUGAAAGGACAAUCAAUUGAACAGAGGAUCAGCUAGCACCUUCCAUGAACUACAUCGAUAUCAUCUUUAUCUGAAUUUGGCCAUAAAUCCAGUUCAAUUACUCGCACACCUCGUUGCAAAGCCUUUAUGAUUGGCACAUCACUGCAGUCACUGCUCAGUUGAUUCCCUGUCAGAUAGGAAUUGUGCCCAGUGUAUAUGAAAUAAUGUGAAAUUGGAGCAUUCAUAUCAUGAUGGACCUGGAAUUGUUAGGUUGUAUUCAUAUCAUUUAGCAAAUAUGCAUUAAAACCCAAAAUUACUCCCUAUUGAAAUGGGAAGACAGCAUAUACGUACUAUAUGCAAAAGAAUAAGACAAUACUAAAUUCACCAAAAUAAAUAAAUACACAAUGCACCACUAAUUUUGUACUUGAUAUUUAUUGAAUGGAUUCCUUCCAUAAUUUACUGUUCAUGUUGAUUGUUCAUUUAACAUUGUCAGAUUAACAAAUGAAACACCACAAUUGCUAAAGUUUGAUCCAAUGCAUGAGAGAUUCUUGCAGUAGAUGGCAAUUGAAGACUAAUUGGGAUCGUGCGCAGUAUAUGCAACAAUUCUUCCAAAUAUUCCUGGGGAUUUGCUGGAUUUGAAAACAGGGCAUGGACAGAAGAAAACCGUGUGUGAAUAAAUUAUAAAUUAGAGAACACUUAUGCUCUCAAUUACAUAUUUUCUUCUUCUUCUUUUUCUAAUUGCGAAAGGAAAAAGAGCUGAGAAGUUGUCAGGUAAUUUCAUUUUGUUUCUAGUAAAACUGCGUUUUUAUCAAUUACGAAGAACAAAGAGAUAAAAAUAAAAAAAAAUAAGCAAAAACAUAUACAAAAGUUACACAACUAAUUAUCAACUCAUAAAAAUUUAAUCCAUAUAUGUCGAUUAUAAAAUUAUAAUUAAUAAUAUAUUUUACACAAUUAGUUAUAUAAUUGAUUUUAGAUUAUAAUUUAAUUAUAUUAUGAGUACUUUAUGAAUAUUUCCCCAUUGAUCGUAAAGUUAUCAUUUUGUCUAUUACUCUCUCUUUUUUCUCUUUUUCAUUUUCCAUAAAACAAAAUCUUUGCAUGAAUUUCUCUCUCACUUAAGAAUGCCAAAUAAACUCCCAUUUAUAUGUUUCAAUUUCUUAUUUUGUUUUAGGGAGAAACCUUCCGUUGAUUAAACACACAUACAGAUAAUAUUCAAUCUUUAAAUUAAUCCAAUAUGGGAUAGUAACCUGUAUGUAUAUAUGUAUAGUCUUCGUAUUGUUUUUGUUUAAAUUAUUAAAAUAUCUUUAAUUUAUUAGUUUAUUUAAAAUAAUUUUUUUUCAUUAGUUUCUUUGAUCAUUUGUUUUGUUUCAUACGAAGAAUGUCUCUUUUGCUAUACAAAUUUUCAUUUCCAUUUUCAUAUAUAUUACUAAGGAUACAUAUGAUUAAAAUUAUUUAAUACAUUAUCUCUAACAGAGCCUCAAAUAUAUAUUUUUCUUUCUGUAAUUUUAUUAUGUAAAUGAUGCAUUGUAGGUUAAGAAAGGUAAUUAUCAAUUUUAUCGAAUUAAAUUGUUUUUAAAACGUAUAUUUAAUUAUUUUUGUACUUCUUUUGUAUUUUUAUUUAUGGUUUACUGUUUAACACAUGGAUAUAUUUAUCAACUGAGAAUAUUCAAUUGUAUAAUUAUUAUUUGGUAGUACUCUUUACUAAGAUUUAGUAUUAAAUUAUUGAUAAUAUCAUUGAUUUUUAUUUUGUAAAAAAAUUAUGUAAUUAAUAUUUGAGACAUUACAACAGUCGCUAUAGAAGUGUAUCCAUGACAAGGACAGCAACAAAACACAAAUUUCAUACUCAUAUAAUUAAAGACACAUACACUCUCCGCUAUCGUCCUUACCUUUUCUAACUCUUUCUCUCUUCAAUUCUUACUUUCAUUCUUAUCUUUUUCACAAUGAUCCUACCAUGAACACACGUCUUAGCUUUUGAAGUAAAGUUCAUUUUUGCUUUGUAAUGAAAAAAUUUCAAUCUUUCCUAGUUUUAGUUGCUGAAAACUUUUAUCAUCUCAACUAAUUUCUAAAAUUAAUUUGAUUAUUUUUUGAGUUAAAAGCUUGAAGAAUUUUUUUUAAAACGUUAAUUUAAUUUACUUCAUUUUAGUUGAGUUGAUUUUUUUGUAAGAGUUGUGAAUAUAAAAAUAUACUAUAAUUUUAAUUGUUAUAAAGAAAUAUUUAUAUAAAAUUGAAUUGACAUUUUACUAAAUAGAUUGGCUUUGAUAUAGUAUCAUUUCAUAUGGCAUCAUGUUGUUAUUGAAUUUAUGGUAUAUUUAAUAAAUUAAUUUUGGCAGGUUUUGUAUGAUAUGUGUGAGAUCUAUAUGAUUUCAAUUUUUUACAGCAAAAACGUUUCAAAUUUCGACAUAAAGUAAAAAUCAAAGCAAGACAGGUCUUUGUUUUUAAUAUGGUUUUUGUUCAAGCAAAUAUUUCUCAUUCAAACAAAAAUCAAAGCGAAAAAAAAAAUCAUAUGUUUAAUAUAACUUUUAUCAAGAGAAAAUUUUGUGAUAAAAUUCUAUGAAUUUUGAUGGCUUGUCUUGAAAAUGAUGAUGAUUAAUUAGUAUAUGAAUUUAAAUAAGACUUGAUUUAGUGUAUGGUAUGUUGUCUUUUAAUUAUAUUAAUUGAGUUAACUAAAAUUGCAUCAAUAUGUAUCAAGUAAAUAAUCUAAUAUAGAUUUUUUCCAUAUCUCAUAGUCUAAAUCAUGUAAACUAAGUCGUCAUGUGGUGAGAAGAGGAAGUAAAAAAAAAAAUCCGUCUAAACCUAAUGAAAUGUGCUAUAUGUAUAUAAUUUUUCUUAACUCACUUUAACCCUUGAUUUUUAUAUUAUGAUAAUGAUUUAAGUCUUGAAUUAAAUAGGAUGUUAAAUAUGCCUUAUUACUUUUAUUUGUGUUUAUAUUUAUUAUAAAUUUAUAACACUUAAAUAGAUGUAUUAUAAAUAUAUGAAAUUUGAUGACAUUUGAAGAGACUUGUCAUAUAAUAUAUUUAAUAUGAGAUAAAUAAAUUUAGAUCCUUCAUUUUUAAUUCUUUGUAUUCUUUUAUAUUAUAUUUUAAGGAUUUUUAAUCAAACGGAGUUAAUUUGUUUUUUCAGAAUUACCAAUUUGGUUUCUCUUUCAAAAAAUUAUCAAUGAAGAUCAAGUCGUCAAAACAAUUAUCAAAGUAAGUCAUGAUUUUUACGUAAAUUAAAACUUUGAACUGAAGUCAUUAUUUUCUAGAACCGUCAAAAUGGGUCACAACCCACCAGCUAACCCGGCCUGUUACGGGUCCCGUCACGGGUUCGGGUCGGGUUGAGUUUGAAAAAUACAACCCACUUAUAUGCGGGUCAGAUUUCAACUCGACUCAUUUAGACCCGGCUCAUGCGGAUUGAACCCGUGGUGUGUCGGGUUGCCCACCAACCCACCUACCUAAUUUUAUUUUUUAAUUUAUUAUUUUAUUUAUGAAACCCUAACAAAUAAAAUACUUUCUUCACUCACUGUGUAUACCAAAAAAAGUAACCUAUGCUCUCACAAAUCACUCUCACGGUACUUGCUCUCACCCUCACUUCACUAAAAUUGUUCAAGGAGCAAGUAAAACACCCUUCCUUUUUUCUUCUCUUUUCUCUACAUUUUUGUUUUCUCACUUCUCUUCUUUUUUUCAAAAACCCUAUAGUGACAAAAACAGGAGUUUCAAAUUUGUUUUUUGUUCUGGGGGAUUUGAAGACAUAAAAUGAUUUUUUCAUGUUCUGACAUGCUUGUAUCAGAUUUUGUUUGUUUUAUUUAAACAAUUUGAGUAUACAUUAUUUGAACGAACUCUUUUUGAUAUCUUUGAAUUUGGAAAAUUAUGUUACAAAUUAAACUAUUAUUUUUUUGUUGAUGUUAUUGAGUACUGGUUCUCUUUUUACUAAUAUUUUUUUAUUGAUUGUCGGAAUUGUUCUGAUAUUAGGAAAAUCUUUAUUAGUGAAUUUGGAGAGAACAAAAACAAUGGUCAAGGGUUACAACAAGAACAAAAAAUGAUGAAUAUAAGAAACUUAUUUGUAUGUUUUUUGUGUUUGUUUUUUAAUGACAUUUGGAUUAUAUUGUACUUUUUAUUAUUAUUUUGAAUUGUCUUUUAACAUAAUUUGUUGAGAGUGAAAAUUGUUUAAAUUUAAAUUACAAAAAGUUUGUAUUUUUCUUUAUUUUAAAAAAAUGUAAUUAAAUAGGCUAGUGAGCCAACCCGUUUACCCACUAACCAGUGAUGGGCCGAGUCGGGUCGAGCCGGAUUACCCAUUUUAACAACUCUAUUAUUUUCUGUUACAAUUUCAAUAUAAUUGAAUUUGAACGAAAAUUAUCCUGUGACGACUUCUUAAAAACUUUAAUUUACAGAUAAGUCUAACAUAUACUUUUUCAACUUCGGUUUCAUAUAACAAAGUCUUUAAUUAUUAUAAAAACUUGUUCAAAACUAACGCGUGUUUAAAAGAAGCCAGAUGUGUAACAUUAAAAAAAACAUCAACCUCUCUUUUGGUUAAAAAAUCAUACGUUUCAAAGCCAACGAACAUUGGUUUGCACUUUCCUAAACAAAAGUACUAAACCAGACUAACACGCCAUAGUCAACUUUUUCCAAACAUACUCAUAAUUAUUUUGUUUACAUGGUCCCAGUUCUUAUCUACAAGAGUGGUAUGCUCACUGUGCAAAAAUAAUUCAAAGUAUGACGUAAUAAACCAAUAUCGUUUUAUAUUUUUUUAAAGAGGACCCAAAUUUCAAAUAUUAGCUCAUAUAAGUGUGAAUUGCGCUGUUCGUGCAAAGCAGAAGAAAGUGCGAAAAACUCACCAGUAAAAUCCAUUUUUGAUGUCAUAUUUGUUCUGGAUAGUGAAAAACAAUUUGGACUUUUUGAUAAAUAUAUAGACCGAGAUAAAUUAAAUUGAGAUUUUAAUAUAUAUUAAAUAAAUUUUAAUUAAAAAAUUAUUUUCAUUCAAAAUUAAUUUUACAAGCAUUCCCUCAAACACAAAUUAAUCUGGAUCAUAUUUUAAUUCCUUUAUAUUUUUUCAAAUUACACGUUACAAAUAAUAUUUAUGACAAUACACAUUAGUAAUAUUACUUUUAAAUAAUUAAAAAUCAUGCAAAAAAAAAAUACAAUAAAAAGGAGUCUAAUUAACCCUAAUUUAUUUGAAUUUGUUUUCUCUCUUGGUGGUUCUUUUCUAUUUCGGCUAGUAAAAUAAAUCAAAUCAUGACGUUGAGUAGGGCAAAAAUGUAUGAUCCUAAAGAAAAAGGAUUGGAAACUUAACUUUUCUGGGAAACAAAGAGGAAUAACAAGAACUCACCUGAGAUUUCAAGGGGACGUUCAAAUCGCUGUCUUGCAGGAAAUGGAAGAAGUAGUGGAGAUCGAAUCCAGUUUCCCCGUCCUCUUUCCUCGAUUGCUGGAGGAUCUGCUCGGAAUCGGAAACGGUGCAGUCCACUUCGCCCUGAUGCUCCGCAAGGAACCGGAGCAGUUGGUCGGCGGACAUGGAGGAGGCGCCUUCGGAGAAUUCAGAAAAGGCUUUUUGGACGUCGGGCGGUGGUUCCGGUUCGGUGACGGUGAACUUUCUGUUGAAGCAGCUGAAGACUUUGUAGUUGUGAGUGGCCAUGGUGAAAUGAAACCUAAUCCAAUGGCAUGAAUAAAAUAGAGGAGAGAGCGUUCUUGGAUUUGGUGUGUUUCAGAAAAGAAAUGGCGAUCAAAGUGAUCACAUUAAUGCAAUUGUAAUAUAAUACGUGUGAGUGUGAAGGUUACAUCAGGAUAGAAACGAAGGACACGCACGGCCAUUAAUGGAAAAAUAUACAUUUUUAAUAUUUUCAAAAUAAUUUAUAAUUACCUUUCAAACAUUUUUUUCUCCGCCACAUAAAAGUUAAUUUAUUAAAAGGUUUAAAAGCUUUAAAGAAUUUUUCUACUUUUGGUUUAUAAUUUUAAAAUAAUGGAUAAUGUUUCAACACAUAGUAUAUAUAUAUAUAUAUAUAUUUAAUGUACACGUUCACUAAUUAUUUACAUUUUUUAUAUAUUUAAAAAUAAGAGUACUAAAUAUAUGUAACUAACUGAUUUAGGCUAGAUAUUAUGGUUUGAAUUUUAAUAAUCAGUCUUGAGCUAAUCAAUAAAAUCUAAAUUAUUUAAUUAGUUGGUCUUACCAAUUUUUAACAUGUUGAAUCGUUGAAUAUCGGUUUUAGUGUCGGCUGAUAAACCUAUAAUUAAAUCAAUCAUCCUACCUUUUUCCUUUGCCAAAUAAUUCAAUAAAAAAUCGUAAUAAGAUAUUUUUUUACACCUAAGUCCACGAUCUAAUUUCAAACAUAAAUUUGGACUUAAAAAAUGAACGAAUUAUUUCGAGCUUGUUUAUAAAGAAAGUGAAAUAUUGUGUUCUAGUUUAUAAAAAAGGGUUAAUUUUGUUUGUUUGAUUGAAAGAAUGUGAAAUAUUAAUAAUUUUAAAAAAUUAUAGUAGGAAUAAGAAUUCUCAUGUAUUUCUCUCUCUUUUAUUUUUUAAUAAUUUUUCUCUCUUUUAUUUUUUAAUAAAAUAAUCAAACUACAUUACUCUUAAAAUAUUUUUUAUCUAUUUUUUCUUUAUUUAUACAUUAUCAAACAAUUAAAUAUUAAAUUUUUUUAACUUAUUUGUGUUAGAAGUCCCACAUCAGAUAGAGAUAAGACCAAUUUAUAAUAUAUAAGUGGGGUGCAGACUUCAUCUUACAAGUUAGUUUUGUGGGAUUGAGAGUUAGGCCUAUAACCUAUUUCUAACCAUUUGUUUUCUAUUUUCUUUGUAAUUACUUCUAUCGUAUUUCUUUAGUGAAAAACAUUUAUUUUUAUGUAACAUGUUAGGUUGCAAUUAUGCAUUGCAUGAUGUUUGUUUGCUUAGGAGUCAUGUCGUGGUCAGAAAUUUUAAUGAAGGUUGAUGAGAAGUGCUUUUCAGUAGCAUCGUUUUUGGUCAAAUAUAGGAACUAGAUGCGGUCCCAAUAGAAACUUAUGGUUCACACGACUAAUUACAAGUUACAUGAUAUGGAGUUUUCUUUCUAACACAAAUUCAAAAUUAAAACACAAAUACUCUUUUAAUUCAUUAAAAUAAUUAAAAGAGUUGUCUUUGGUGGUUUUAAUAAUAAACUAAAGUUUGUAGAUUAAAAAGGCUUAAGUGAAAUGAUUUAAUUAAAGUGUUCUUUUAACUAAUCUAGAUACUCUUCUUUUUAUUUCAAGCAAAUUGAAAAUAAUAAAUUAAAAGGCUUAAGUGAAAUUAAUUAAUUAAAAUGAGCUUUUAACUGAUAAAAAAUUGAGUCUGGUUUAAUUAAAAGUCUUUUAACUAAUAUAUAUAUAUAUAUAUAUAUAUAUAUAUAUAUAUAUAUAUAUAUAUAUAAUUCAUGAGUCUGGUUUAUUUUUGCAAAAUUGAGUAUUUGAUGAAAAACAGCUUAGAAGCAUGCUAUAAUUCAUUGAUUAACUGUAUAAUUCACUGAUUAACUGUAUAAACUACGAACACUGAACCAUGUGAUGUUGAACAUAGACAAAUUUUGCUACUGUUUCUAGCUGGUUAAAGGUUCUUUCCAUGGAUUGCGUUUUACAACAAUACAAAAUAUUUAAAUGAGUGAUAUCGACAAGUUAUUUAAAGUUUCAAUCUUGAAGCGCAUUAGAAGUUUCACAGAAUUCAAUUUCUUUCCCUUGGGGUCAAACAGAGGGACUGACCGGAAUCCCUGCCUGAGCUCUGAUACUGGCAAACAAGUUUGUCCUGCAAAAUCAUCUUUUCCCUUAUCUUUGUCCUUCACUUCUAUCCAAAGUAAAGCAAGCUCAGGAACCCUCAAUUCGAAUUUAAACUCUUCAUCCCAAACAGGAUACCAUGUGUCCGUAUUUACACUUGUUUUCUUCUUCACACAAUCAGAUGGCACUCCAACAAUGCACACCUGUCCAACAAUUUGUUCAAACAUUGACACUUUAUUAGGAAAAAGCACAAAAAUGAUGCAAUUUUAACUUCAAAAUUAUAAAAAUGGUUGAAUUCUCAAGUCAUACCAACUUUCUACAACUUCAUUAUAAAAAUGUCGUGUGAGUUUGAAACUUUUCAAUGUAUUAUAUAUAAUUCUAAGUUGUGUUAACUUGUACAACUUGAUAUAUUGUGUUAUAAACUAAAAUCGUGUCAACUUGACAGUGUAAUGUGAUAUAAACUGGAGUUAUGUUAACUUGGUAUGACUUUAGUGUAUUGUGAUAUAAACUGAAAUCGAAUUAAUUUAGUAUAACUUAGUGUAGUGUAAUAUAAAUUGAAAAUCUAGCAUUGAAUUUGAUGGUAAAAGAUCAUUCAUGAUAUUAGGUUCAACUUAGUUUGCAACAAUAUUGCUCGAAAUCUAUCAAAUAAUUGUGCAACUGACCUUUGUGUAAAAGUCUGGUGGAGAGAAUCGAUCAAAGUGUGUUGGACUGAAAUCUAAAUUCCAGCCAUCUCCUUUGUAUACUUUUACCUGUUGUUGAAUAUGAAAAUGUGCGGAUGUUAUGAAACAACUCAAUUUCCUUUUAGCAAAGUGAAUAGGUAUGUGCUUACUCUUAAGAUCUGUUUCACUGGCAGUUGUUUUUUAGGAUCAAACACCUCGUCAUGUGGAAGUGUUCGGAUUAUAAAUUCAGGCUUUUUAACAUAACCACACCCUCCAUUUGCUCUGAACAUUCCCUGCAUCAACCGGAGUGAUUUUCCAUGCCCCUGUCACAAGACAACAAGAGUUAAUGCCGGAAAGGUUUAUAUUCCCGAUCUUUCUAGCAUAUUUGGAUAAAGACUCUGCUUUUAACCCAAGAGCUUAAACUUUUAGGUAAAAAGACUACUCCUUGACACAUUUUCUAUAACAAUCACACGAUAAUACUUCAACAUGCAUAUUGUAUUGCACUAGCACCAUGAUAUCAAAUUAAAAUGUGCUGAGACACCAUUUUAUCUGAGACUUUGCUUUACUGCUCAGUCAUGAAUUUCCAACCUGCAUAUUGAAUGCAACCAUCUGAGCUCCAUACAUCCACCCUAAAUGUGGCCUGAAAUUUGAGGAUUUGACACGUUCUCCUUUAGGAUAAACCCUGAGGAUAUUUUUCUGUGUGAACCUGGAAAGGAUAACAAUUUCUAUCAAACCUUGUGUAAGUGUGCAAUGGGUAUUGUCAAGUAUAGAAAUGCUGAUAAUCUCUUCAGCUACUGGUAACGCUCAAAUAAGUUUGAUAGGUACCUAAUAAGGUCGGCUCCAUGAGACUCAGAAGCACUUUUUAGUUUCUUCUCACUCAAACUCAGCCGUUUAACUUUAGUAUCAUCUUUUAGUUGAUCCUUGAUGGAACCUUUUGUUUUCCCGCCAUGGAUUGUGAUCAAGUGUUUGUAUGGCAAUACACCUUGUUUGUUUGGAAUGUUAUUGCUUGUGUUUAUAUUUUCCCGAUCUGCAUCACGUGCAUUCCCCUGCCAAACGAGAGAACGUGAAUUCAAAGGACUAACAAUUGAAAUUUCACCUGUGGUUUAGCAUGUAUAAUUUUAUUUUUCUACUUUUACACCUUGGUUAAAAGUGAUGAAAGUAUUUUUUUCUCUCACCUUGUCCUCAGUUAGUUUAGACACAGAAUCUGACAAUUCCAGUCCCCAAAAUUUUUCGUCAGGGGUUUCACAUUCAUCUGGCCCAGCUUUGCUUUUGCUGAUACUAUCAGAUUGCUGAAAUUCCUUUGGGGGUUUGGUUGAUAUAAUUAUCCGUUUUUUCAACGAUUCUGGUGAGGGGAAUUCUGUUAAAGACUCUGUUUGGGGACAAUAAAGCAUUUCUCCAAAUAUUUCAAAUGCCAUCUGCAUGAUUAGAGGAAAAAAGCAAUAAAAAAUGGUCUAGAUCCCUAGUUUUUAUUUUCUUAUUUAGAGGGUAAUUGACAAUGAGUGCUUACUUCUGCAAAUUUAUCCUGAUGUUUUGGUUUUAGGUGGUCUUCCAAAGUAAGAAUUACUGGAUAAUCUGAUUUAUAAAAUGCAUAUUUCUUUAUGGAUUUUAGACAUGUGCGUAGGGCGACUGGAGUGGUAAAAGUCCUGCAUUGAUGAAAAAUAUACGUAAGAAAACAAUCAUCCAACUCUAUAAGACGAACUACUUAUUCCUUUUUUUCCUCUGCUAAGAACUCUCACUAGAUAUGGUUUUAAUAACCAGCUAGUACCUUCCAUGAACCACUUUAAUGCCAUCUUUAGUUGAAGAUUUAGAUGGCCAUAAAUCUAGUUCUAUUACUCGUACACCUUGUUUCAAAGCCUCGAUAAUUGGCUCGUCACUGCUCUCACUAGUAAAUUGAUUCCCAGUCAGAUAGGAAUUGUGUCCCGUAUACAUAAAAUAAUGUGACAUGGGAGCAUUCAUAUCAUGAUGUACCUGGAAAUAUAUAUGAUUUCUUAUUAAUUGUCAGGAAAGGUUAAAAUUUAGAAACUCAUUUAUAAAGUCCAGUGCAAAUUACAGAUAUUGACAAUAAAAGAGACCAUAUGAAACAAAGAACAUAUGUUGCUAUAAACUUUUGUGAUUUAAGAAUGUAUUUGAAUAAGCACACGUUUCUGUGUGCAGCAAAAUUUCUGUGCUCCAAACACUAUCCCGUGACCAGACAACUCUCUGCAAUCAAGCAAGUUAUAUAUGGCAAAAUUUUGUCCACUUGUCAAUCUAUGUUUGUCUAGUCUUUGGUAUCACCCGAGUUAACUUUUCAUACACAGUCAGGGUAAAAACUGUUACACUAUCAAUACACAGAAAACAGACAAACUCUCCAUAUACUGUAAUCUAUCUUGAACGACAAUAUUGACAUUAUUAUUACAUGUAAGUGAAACUCAAUAAAGAUACGUAGAAACCAGAAAAUAAACAAAGCAAGACAAGACAAGGUAAGCUUUAGCAUUGUGUAAAUAAUUAAUAAAGUAGGAAACAGAAUGUUGGCAUCUUGAAGAAACUAUCUGGUUCUGUUUGUAAGUCCUAAAACAGUCAGAGAAAGAGCAAACCUUGUCAUUCAAGGCGGCAUUGAAAUCAUGCAGAAGCAGAAAAUCGACGAAGUCAUUGAGAGUUAACCCUUGUUUAUUGUACACAUCAGGAAAUCUUGCAGAUCUGGUUCUAGAGCUAGAACUACAACUCCGUGCUACUAAAAAACUCUCAAUUAUUUUAUCCAAAUCCUCUUCGCCGCAGAUAUUAUCUCCCUGGUGCUCCACAAUGAACCGAAGAAGCUGAUCCUUGUUCAUUUGGCUCCCUCCUCUCGCAAACUUGGAAAAGGCUUCCUUAAGGUCCAAAGGAUGUUCUGCCUUGCAAGCUUUCUCCCUUUUGGUCAAGAAAUUUAACAUCUUGAUCUUGAAUGCUUCAAUUUUCAUUCUCACCCUUCCCUGCCAACAGAAAUAUAUAUAUAUAUAUAUAUAUAUAUAUAUAUAUAUAUAUAUAUAUAUAUAUAUAUAUAUAUAUAUAUAUAUAUAUAUAUGGAACUGUGAGAAAACAAACACCUGACUAACCAAUAGAAGAAUGGUAGAUUGACACACCUCUUUAACAUGAUUUUACAAUGAGAAAGUGAAAAAUAACUUGUGAAAUGAGAGUGUAUAACCGUGUAAAAAUAUUCUCUCUAACCAAUAUGUACAGUCCAAGAGUAAGACAAAUGGGUCACCUUGGUAAAAGAGCCUCUGUUUUUCUCUGGUUUCAUUGCUUAAAAAACCUUUGUUUCCUGCGUCUUACUAAGGAAGUUCUAUUGUGCAGGCUGGGUCUGCAAAUUUGAAUAAUUAUACAUUUAAGCAUCCGAUCAAAGUCGAAGAAAAUAAAGUUAGUAAAUUUAAUGUUCACACAAAAAAAUUAUUUCUUUAUCUUUUUCCAUGAGGUUAGCCAUUAAAAUAAAAUUAAUGCAUGGACCUGAAUAUAAAAUGGACUUUGAUGAAAGCUGUUGGAAAGGUUAUUUUAAUUCAAGUUGAUGCUUUGCACAUUGUCAGACCAGUAAAAGAAACGUUUUUAUGUUUCUACUUUUGUAAUAAAACUGGGACAGUACUACUACUGACUUCUGGUUAGGUGGGCUAUGUUCCAUGUUCCCAUUCACAUUCACAUUCACCAUUUUUACAAAGGACAAUCCUUUUAAAGUGAAUAGGGUCACUUUAAUUUAUAAAAUCUUCUAUUUAACAUAAUUAUACAAAGGAAUAAUUCAAAAUUUUCUAUUAAAUGUAAUUUCAGUUUUAGUAAAAUACUUCCUUAUAAUUACCAUUUAAUGCUCUGUUUGUGUUGUUGGAAACGGAUAUCCAAACAUUUCAGAAGUAUGCUUCCAUGGUGGGAAAGUGUCUAAGGUUGUUAGUGUUUUGAGAUAAAACCUAGAGUUGUUGGAUUGACUAGGUUAAAAUAUUAAUUGUGAGAAAGUCCACUAAUUAAAUUGCAUAAAUGAUUAAAAUCUUAUAAUAAGAUGAGUGCACAUUGAAGGCAAUGAAUGCGUGGUGGAGACAUUGGAGAACGUCCGUUACGUGUUUUUGAACAAAAAGAUGAACACACCUUUGCAAGGCAAUAAUGUAUGCCUCUGAGUCUGACAAUUUUUGGCGAAUAAGCGUUGGAGCGAAAGCGUUGAAACUGCUACUUGGGCAAAAAGCUGAAACGUAUUAUCGAUGCAAAUAAAAGGUGAGAGAAAUGUAAUUGUAGAAGGUUCAGAUGUAAAUGCAAAAGCGGCAUAAAUGCUUAGGGUUUCCUCAAGUACAUUUGGUUGAACUUUUGUUUAAAAAUCCUUUUAAUUAAAUACUCGUUCAAAAUCUGAUUUGUCAAGUUUUGAGUUUACAAUGUCAUUAAAUUUAAGGACAAAGGAGAUUCAAUAGGUAUUUUAUAAAAUCUGGCCUUUUAAAUUGAGUCUCAUUAAAAAAAAGUAAUUUUAUGGAGUAGUUAAAAAUUUCACAUAAGAACAUAUUUCAAUUUCCUAUAUAACGUUGCCACCAUCUAACUCGUACAUUUCUAUUUAAACGUUACAUUUAUUUAACAUCAAUUUUUAUGUAUGUGAAUAUAGUAUCUUACAUAAUUUCCACACUUCAUAGAUCAAAUUGGUUUAAAUAUGGUGUCAAACCUUCUCCUAAGUACCAUAUAAAAUUAGUCUAAAUCUAGACUUAUUUUAAUAUAUUAAUUAUAUUUCAAGUUUUAGAAUGACUAAGAGAAUGAUUACGAGAAUAAAAUAAUUACUCAUUUUAAAAGUCUAUAUUAAAAGAAUUUUAAAAAAAAAUUAAAUCUUUUUUCCAUUAUUUCACGAAUCUAUGCCAACACAGAUAUUACAUAAAUCCUAUCUUGGUGGACACACAUAUCCUUAUCCAACAACAAUUAUAGAUGUUUCGGUAGAUAUUUUUGAGGACCGAGACACUAACCUGGAUGACGCGGCUUUAUCUGAACUGGAUUGCUAGCUCAAACGUAAGUAGAGUGUGAGUGGAAUGUGAUUGAAAGAUGAUUAGAAGGUGAUUAGAAGUACAUGGCUUGUGGCCCUGACUCUAUUUAUAAUUUGUCUCAUGACCUUAAACUGAUAUAAGCCUAACAGAAUAAAAUAUAAACAAAAUAUAAUAUAAACAGACUUAUCUGAAAAUCUGGUUGGUUGUUAAAUAUCAUUAAAUAAAUAUUCUUGAUUAUCCCUUAAUUAUUUUAUCUUCUAUUUAUCAAUAUCUUUAAUAAGAUAUUCUUGAUUAUCCUUUGAUUAUUUUAUAUCUUUAAUAAGAUAUAUCGUAACCGCUCAACCCAGAUAUCAUAGUAUACAAUAGAUAAUGAUCAAUACUGGGAUUUUAGCUACAAACCCAAACACUACCAAUCUUUCUUUGCACUUAAGAAUUAUGUUUUUUUUUUCUAUUCUUCUCUUAAAACAUCAAUCUCCUCUGUUGCUUUGUUUUCUCUAUUUGAUUUAGAGUUUUCUAGUGUUUCUAAACACACCAAAAUCUAUCUCCUCUCUCUAUAUGUUAUUUAUAAAUAAUUCAACUCUAUAUCUAAUAUUUCUUACUUAUAAUAAUAUAUUUUAUUUUAGUUAUAAUGAGUCUAUCAAUAAUAUAUAUUAUUAUUAUUAUUAUUAUUAUUAUUAUCUAAUAAUAAUAUCUAAUUAUAUCAAACAAUAUCUCAAAAUAUCUUUUAAAUCAUAUAGCAAUACUUAAUAAUGAUUUCAUCUAAUAAUAAUAUCAUUUUUAAUCUUUAAACUCACAAAAAUUAUAUUUUUUAUUUUUAUUUAAUUAAUGGUUAACACAACAACAGUUAAAUCUUCUAAAAUACUGACAUAAUAUCUUUUUAUUAAUUUUUCAUAUUAUUUAAUUUUCAUGCUUUUUUUUUCUAUAUCCUCUAUUUUAAUUUAUUGCACCUAAUUAAUAAAAUGUAAAAGAUCAUUUUGUUUCUAGGCAAAAAUAUAAAUAAAUAACAUAACAAUGUUAUAAUAAAAAUAUACACUUAAAAAUACUAAUUUAAAAAAAAAAAUCAAAGUCUCAGAAGUAUUUAAUUUGUAAGACCUCUAUUUUAUGUUUACAUACAAAAUUAAUCAUAAUAAAUAAACUAAUGUCAUGUUAUAGAUAUAUUUUCAUUUUUUUGUAUAUGUUCGAAAUUUGUUAUUUUAAAAUACAAUGUUAUAAAAGAAACCAUUUCUAUGUGUAUAUUAUUUCUAUAGAAAAUACACUUUAGUAAAUAUAUUGUCCAAUAAAUCUAUGGAAGUAAUGAGUAUAUUGUCCAAUAAAUAUCAUAAUUAAUGUAUUACGUGUCAAUUUGAUUGUUGGGUAAUAUUAUAUGGAGUCAUUCAUUAAAGAUAAAAGAGAUAAGUAUUAUUAUGUAAUUGUCAGAUAUAAAUUAAGUAUUAAGUAUUUAUUAUUUUAUACGUAUUUAUUAUUAAAAACUGUAGUAUAUUAUUCAUUAAUUUAUAUCUGACAAUUAGUAUUAAGUAUUUAUUAUUAUUCAUUAAGUAUUUAUUAUUAUGUAAUUUAACUCACACUUUUAAAAAUAAAAAUAAAUGAAUAAUAUACUACAGUUUUUAAGUUUUAUUUUGCAUUUUUUUCCUUUUUGUUGAUAUGUCAAUAGAUCGAUUCUUAGUAAGUCAAUAAGAUUUUAGAACUGAAGGGACUGAAUUGAUCCAUUUCGCUAUUUGCUAAUAUAAUUUCGAUCUCUUAAUUUUUUUUCUGUAAUAAAAAAUUAGUGACACCUAAUAUAUAUAAUUAUAAACAAGCAAAAAAAUAUUAUGAUUAUUUUUUACAAAAUUUCUUUAAAUAAUUGAAAGUUUACAAAAUUUCUUUAACUAAUUGUGAGUUUACAAAAUUUUAAUUCUUAAUAAAAAAAACUGAAAAAAAAAGUAAUUACACCAUCGCAAAAUCUUUUAAAGUUUACAAUUUGUCUUUUAUAAAAAAGUCUUUAACAAAACUGUAAUCCCAUACAUCCUCAAUUCAAUGAUAUUUUUUAUUUAAAAAAUAAUCUAUUUACAUCUAACUAAAUUAUCCAAUCUAUUUUUUUUUUUUACUGAUUAGAUGGAUUAAAUUAAACUUUAGGUGAAUAGACACUUGGAAUAGUAUAAAUUAUUGAAACUAAAGAGACUUGUUUUUUAAUGUUGAGAAAAUGACUGAAAGCAGAUAUAGUAUAAAAAUGAAGAACAAAAGGAAAAUAUCCAAAAUAUUGUAUAUCAUCAAUAAAUUAUAAUUGUAAUUGGUUAACACGAACUAUGUUUAGCAAUUGAUUGAGGUUUUGCAUCAGCUGACUGCAAUGGCCUCCAGAGGAACUGGAACGCUGAUUUGGGUGUGUCUGUUAUGGCUUUUCUUCCUCUGCGCCACCAUUGCUUUCUUUCAGCUCCACUUGGUAGACAACAGAACCAAUCAACCUUCCUCUCGUGAUCAGCGCUCGGUAAGAAUUCAUCUUUCUGCCACUAUUUUCCUUCGUUCCCUUCUCUUGGGUCUGGUGGGUCAAUCAUCGAUUGAUGCAUAUUAGCCCUUUCCCUUGCUUUCUAGGAUAUCCCUUUGGAACAAGAUUUGGAGGGUGUCACUCACAAGGUGUAUUUCGACAUAGAGAUCCAUGGGAAAUUAGCGGGUAUGCUUCAUUCAUUAGAAAGAUAUUUCACUGUUUCGCAUUUAUUUGCAUAUGUUGGAUCGUGGCAAUUAUUUUUAUAUUAUGAUUUGGAAUGUGAUAGCAGAUUGAGUGUUGGCUGGGCUUUUAGUUGCAUUAAAUCGACACCCCACUCGCUGAUUUAAGAUGGUUUGUGUUAGGAGGCACUCUUUUAAUAAUUGUAUGUAAGGAAUUGUGCAUCAGAAGUGGUGCCAUGGUAUUCUCAAGUAUGGUACAAGGAAAAAAGGGUUAUUUCGUUCUGAAGUGGAAUUGAACGUGAAGGAAGCGCAUUCGCAUUGUGAUGGAUGAUUCGAUGGGUAGUUCUGUUUCACGGCAGUCUAAAAUGCAAACUUUUGCAAAGCACUAGCCAGCUGCCAUCUGAAUGGUUUAGGAUAUGUUUAGAUACAAGUUUCCAAAACAUUUGUAUGAAAGAAAAGUAAGAAGCAAAAAAGAUGAAAACAAUUUCUUCGUAUCCUAAAUUUAGUUAACUUAUCAGCUAAUUUGUAAUAGUGUUCUUAUGCUAACUUUUUGAAAAUUUGACUUUUAAUUUUUGUAUAAGUUAAUUUGUGCAAUAUUUUCCCCUUCUUUUCUGCUUAGUUGUUGUGUUCUUUAUACCGUUUAGGGCUUAAUUAUUAUAGCAUUACGUUAUGAUCCUGAAUGGGUCACUCAUCAGUAAAAUUCUUGUUUCUUACUUCAGGUCGCAUAGUCAUGGGCCUUUUUGGAAACACAGUUCCGAAAACUGUAGGUAAGGCAUGCUAUACUAUAAUGAAAUGCUUAAGAUGUUUAUUUAGACAGAUUUUAGUGUCAUGUACAGGAUUUGGGUACUGAUCAUGUUAUCCCUUUUGUGCAGAAAACUUUCGGGCGCUUUGUACGGGUAGCUCUGCAACUAUAGUUACUUUGGUUGUUUGACUUUAAAGUGGUGCCACUACUUAUGUUGCUGAUAGUUUUCUCCCUUAUAUAUAUGAUCAGUUGGAAUGAAUCUUGAUCUGUAUAAAUUCUCUGGGUAGUAAAAACUACAAAUUUGAACAGCAUCUCAUUUCAGGAGAGAAAGGAAAGGGAAGAAGUGGGGUGUCUCUUCAUUAUAAAGGAAGCACAUUCCAUAGGAUUAUACCAAGCUUUAUGGUCCAGGGUGGUGAUUUCACCCGUGGUGAUGGAAGAGGAGGAGAAUCAGUCUACGGUGAAAAGUUUGCUGAUGAAAACUUCAAGCUGAAGCAUUCUGGACCAGGUGAACUUCUAUGUCUUUGUUACUGGUAUUAUAUUUAUAUCCAUUAUUAUGACAAUGUUAAUAUAAUUUAUAUUAUUGCACCUCAUCACCCUUCUUGCAUGAUUGUCACCUUUCAGGAUAUUUAUCUAUGGCGAAUUCUGGACAAGACACCAAUGGCUCCCAGUUUUUCAUAACCACAGUUAAAACCAGCUGGUAUUUUUUUUCUUUUUUUACUUAUUUUGCAUACUCUUGAAUUUGAAUAGAAUUAACUUGUGAAAACCUUACUGUGACAGGUAUAAAUAUGAUUUUGUUUUUCUUAAUGGUUUUAUUGUCUUUGAAUAAAAUGCGAUUCUAGUUUUGGUGGAAAAGAAAAGUUUGAAAGGAAAAGUUUAUUCCAUUCUGUGCACAAGCAGAAUCUCAAUUAGAAAGGUCCAUUUUCCUUCCACUUAUCAAGAAUGGAUUUUAUUUUGAACAUAAAUGAGUAUAAAGCUGAACUUAGACAUUCAUGACUCAAGUUCCUAAUAUAGAAUAGACACGCUUUCAAACAUUUAUGUCUAAUAAAAAAGAGCCUGAGAUGAAAAGGUAACUUUUCAAGUUUUAAUGGCUAUUGUUGGGCCCCUUUUCAACAAACUCAUUCUUCCAAUUGUUUCUUGGAAGGCUGGAUGGACGCCAUGUUGUAUUUGGCAAGGUACUUUCUGGUAUGGACGUAUUGUACAAGAUUGAAGCAGAAGGAAGUGAAAGUGGCUCGCCUAAGAACAAGGUCGUCAUAUCAGACAGUGGAGAAUUAACUUCAUGACAUGGUUUAUUUAUACAAGUUGAGACUAGACUACUGUGUUAACGAGCCAUCUUUGCCCAACACCAUGAUUUACAAACUCUGCAUAUUUCAUCAUUCAGUAAAUGAAUAAGUUUGCAGAUAUUAGUGAAGUUGAAGUCUGGAUUGUUGUUUUUGCAUGUUUGUUUGUCCACACUAGUCUUGCUAUAAGGGAAAAAAAUUAGAGAUUGCCAGAGUGGGGAUACUCAUUAACAAUAUGCAUCAGGCUGUAGUGUGUUAUCUGAACUUUUCUUAUGUAAUAGGUACGAGGAUAAAUUAUUUAUUCAAGUGCAUCAUGUCGUGUCCUCUGCUACAUUCUCCACUUCCACCACUGCAAUUUAAAUUCAAAGUACAAACGGACCAUCACAAAAUAAAAUAAUAUUAACAGAAUGUUAUCUCUUACCUUGUCCUGUGAAAAAGGCAGAGCUCAUCAUUAUCCAGAUUUUACACAAAUGAUAUUGCACCACUCCAAGAGUGUUGUACUCCUUUAAAUGGACACUUUUUUUACAUUAUUUUCCUUCUAAGCAAACUGCUUUAACCAAUGAAUAAAUAUUAACAUAUCUUCGAAUUGAGAUUUAAACUUUUGAUUUGUCACAUUAUAAGAGACUACUUUCUUCAGGUUAUUCAACUUUGUCUUAACGAGGUUAGUUAGGCACUGUGAAUAUCAGAUCUUUCAAAACUGUUGUGUUGUAACUUCACGUGCUGAUGAUGGUCAAGUAAAGAGCAAAAGACUGAUCUUUUCGCUAUGAACAAAAGUAAAGAUUACAACUCGGAUGAAUCUUCCAUUCACAUGCACUGAGCAAGAACACGUUAUUAUCCAAUAAAAAAGUUAAUUUAUUGAUUUAGAAGUACAGAGAAAGUUACUGAAAAGUAGGACUAGAGUCGACAACAGUAAUAGUAUGUGUAGAAAGAAGUAAAUAAGACGAUAGUAUGCUUCGCUUUUCACCGUCCUUAUUGACAAUUGAUGAGGAAACAAAGCCAAAAAUUACCAUCACAAAUCUUCAACUUCAACAACAGACACAUACAUAUAUAGAGAGAGACAGACACGAUUAAAAAACAAGGAAACGUGACUGGAUUUAUUUGGAAGGGUUUUUGGAGCGGUGUUGGCAAACGUUGGUGAAAUUGGAGUUGAGAUCAGAGUAGAGAGAGACAACCUUGGAGAUGUUGCCGUUGAGUUCCUGAAUGAGGGACACGUUUUUUACCAUGUUGUCGUGCAUCCGAGACUGCUGGUUCUCGUUCACCUGCUGAAUCAGUUGCCGGUUCCGGUCCAGCACCGACUGCACCUGCCGGAACCCCUUGUUCAGGGUCGCCCACACCUCCGGGUCGCCGUCCUCCGCCUCCUCCACCUCCCCGUCUGACUCCCCGGUGGUCGUGCUCACCGUGGUGUUGGUGGCGGCGGGGUGGCGGCUGUUGUGGCGGCGGUGGUGCUUCUUGGAGCGGCGGUGGUUGGAGGGAUCUUCCAUGGUAGAGUCUGCAGCGGAGCAAGAUGAGUUCAUGUGCUGUGCAUGAAACAGAGAGACGACUCAACCAAGUCUUGUUGGGUUAGACAUUGCAAAUUUUUUGUGACUUCACGAGGAAGGGGCAAUGCUAUAUAUAUACAGCACUGCAAGGGCAAACAUGUUAUUCUUCAAAACUUCUCACAUUUCAGAUCAAAUAUUUCUUUUUAACAAGGCCAUUAUUUUUCUCUUUUUACUAUAAUCAUUUCUAUGUUUUAUCAAACGUAUUUAAUUUUAAUAGUAUGGUAUUAUUAUAAACAAUAAAAAUGUACUUCACUUAUCUGUAAAUUUUAAAUUUAAAUCAGGGCAAGGGUAUUAUGUUUUUUAUAGAAAAUAUCUGAUUUUGUUUUAAAUUGGUUCAAUGAUACAUUACUUUUAAGAUUUUUCUUACAAGUUUAUUAAACAGUGAAGACUAAUAAAAUUUGCAUUUUUCUCAUUUUCUUAUUUCAGUUUUUUAUAAAUCUAAAAAUAAUUUAAUAUUUAUAAUAUAUAUUUUGUUUGGAAUAUUAUUAUUUUAAUAUCACAGAAACAUAAUAAACUAUGAUAAGUGGCAUUUUGCCAAAUUUGGAUAUGAAACAGUAUGAGCCCCAUUUAGCAAUUGGAUCUACAGAGAGAAUCACACAUUCGCACGUGCCGUGAUACGUUUCAUAAGAUCAGCUUACGCGACUAUCCAUUGGCGCGUGCAGCACAACUUUACAGAUGCAAAUAAAGUAAGGAAAAGAAAUAUAGAUUUGGAAGGAAAAAGUCAAAAGUGCAAUAGAAUAUUAUUUUAGGCCAACUUUAGAUAGGAGUUUUAUAUUUGAUAAUUCUUUAAUAAAAUAAGUAUUCAAUUUAAUUCAUAGUGUAUUACACAAUCAAAUUUCUAAAAAGAAUUAGGCACAUAAAAAAUAAAUUAUAUUUAUUAAAAAAAUUAUUAUAAGUGCCAACAGUUUAUCGUAACUAUACUUUAUAACUGAAUAAUGCCACAAAGGUAUUAAAAUAUAUAUUUUUGUGAACCCUGAACUAAAAAUAUUUAAAUACAAUUUUUUAAAAUCUCUUCAAAUCCUAGCUUUAACUUUUUUUUAUUCAACUAAAAUUUUCCGAUUUUUAAAAUCAAGUCCAUCCAUAUUAUCAAAUUUUCAUCUAAAUUUCCCAAAUUUACAAUUUUAAUUCAAAUAUCCAGCGUUUCAUAAUGAGUUUAGAACACAAAAUAUAGCAACAGUUUAGAAGUUAGAAAAGUAGUAUAAAAUUAGUAAAUUUUUUGAUGUGAAGUUUGGGUUUGAAAAGGAAAAGUGGGCAUUUUGAUGUAAAGUUAGGGUUCGAAAAGAAAAAAGUGGGUAUUUUCUGUUUUGGCACAAAGUUUUAGUUGGUGACUUUUGAAUAAAAUAAAAUAUUUAGCAAUUGAAUUCGAAAACAUUUUGAAGAAUAAAUAAGAAUUUGAAAAUUAAAGAUAAAGAAUAAAAUCUAUCAAAUUCCAAAAUGGAAAAAAUAAGUUAAAACUCCAGUGAUGUAAAUUAAAAUUAAAGUUUGAUUAGUUUCCCUUAAUUAUAUUAAAAACGUAGUGGAAAUGAAUGUAUCCGUGGUCCAUUAAGAAAAAAGAAAAGGAUAGUCAACAGAAGAAAAUGUUGAGGAAGUUGCACGCGGCAAGGUGGGAGUGGGGAAAGCAUUAGGUUGAAAAUAUCUAGAGGAUUGGAUGCAAAAAGCGAAAAGUGCAUUGCCACGACGAUUAAAAGAACCAUGUUUCUGCCUGCGUGGAUAGAAAGUGCAUAAAAUAUCUAAUUUCAUGUGUCACGCGCCACACAUCUAAGAUAGAUAGAUACACCAAAAUAUCUCCCACAGUUAAAAAAGGGAAAAACAAAAUUCCAAGGCACAAACACGAUCGAAGACGAAUAUAUACCUUCAAACGAAAAUGAAAAAAAGGGAACACAUCUGGUCCCAACACAGAACAUAACAUUAUUAGUUUUAGGGAUAAAUUAUGUUAUCAAUAAACUUCAUCAACUAGAUUCCAUUUGAACCAAAAUAUCUUCAUAAACUUUUCUUUUUUGCUUUUAUAUGUCUUUUAAUAUUGCUAGAAUUUUUUUUUAUUUGUUGCAAGAGUAUUUAGCCUGAUAACAGUUAUUGAGCUUAAUGUGGAUUUUGACAUUUGUAAUAUUUCAUAUUAUUAUUGUAAGAGCAUCGAAAAAGGAUUUUCAAGCAUUUGUUGAACUUAUUCUUUCUUGUUUUUUAAUGUCUUCUCUCUUUUUAUCUUUCUUACAUGUUUCUUCCUUUUUUUUCAUACUGAACUCAGGCUAUAGGUUGUAUUUACUUACAAUUAAAAGUGGACUAACUUUUGUAUAAAUACUUUUCUAAAGAAUAUAUUUUUUCAUAAAUUAAAAUUAGUUUAUAUACCCAUUCAAAGAACGUUCUUAGGCUUUUAGCCGUGUUUGUUAAUUCAACCUUCAAACAACCUGUGAAUUUUUCUAAUGUAUCUAGAUUUUAUUUAUCCAGUUAACACUUUUUACUGUUCACAGUGGGAAUUCAAUAUUCAAAGAGCCAAAUUCCACGUCCCUUUUGCUUUUCUAGUUACAAGACCAAAUUCAUGUUAGAACAACAACUAUAUAAGGUAAAAAUCCAACUUCUCAAAGACCCAAUUCUGACAUGCCACGGUGCUACAAUCUUCCCCUCACCUGGCAUUAAAAAAACAAAAAAGAAAAAAAAAACGCAUAUUGAAAGUCAAAAUUCAGCUUCUCAGGAUCAAAUUUCAAUCAUAAAAGAUAUGUUUAUUUGGGGUGAUCGGAGAAGAAUGAUUGAAUGGAUUUGAAGAUAUUUGAAGGUAAUUUUUUUUGUUGUUUAUUUGAAUAAAUUUAGAAAUAAACGAAAGUGGAUUUUAAAGUAAAAUUUGUAAAAAAUGGUGUAGGAUUUAGUUUAUAUGACAGAUUAAAAAAAUUUAUUUCAAAAUCUACUUUCAUUUACCUCCAAAUUCAUUCAAAUAAAUAACAAAAAUUAUUCUCAAAUCCACUCAAUCACUCUUCCUCAAUCACCUGCAAGUGAACACACCCUAAAACGUGCUAAUUAGGAAGUUAAAUUUCCAGAGUCCAGCUGGAGAUUUUUUUUGAAAGAGUGUCAGUUAAGGGGAAAAAACACGAAUUUUUCACAUAUAUAGCUGACUUUGACUUUCUUUUUUUACCAAAAUAGUAUGUAUGUAGAUUUUAUUUACCACGAUAGCACACUUUUACUAUACUAGUUAGAAGAAAACCAAAUUCUGAACAUGAUUUUAGAUUAGCAUACAUUUUUUAGAGAAACACUAAACAUGUUCAGAAUUUAGUUUCGGGAACUAAAUUUUGAACUAGCACAGUAAAAAUGUGUUAUCUUGAUAAAUAAAACCAUCACCUGUCAUAAGAAUGCUAUUUUGGUGAAAAGUGUGCUGUGAGAAAUUCAAAAAAUCACACCCGAGCAACUUAGUACACUAUAGGCACAACCCGUGAUCAGUAUUAUGGUACAGAUAAUUUGACUAUGACUCACUGGCACACAACAUAGCCACAAGGUGGUCAGUAAAUUCAUUUCUACGUUUAUGUAUCCGUAAUUGGAGAUUACAAGGCAUUACAUUUCAAGUCUACAUUAACACAAAAAACUGACAUUUUUUAUACAUAUUCAGAACAGCAUAACAUUGGGACAAACAGAUGCUUACAAGGUUUAAAGCAAAGCAACUAUUCAGUGGAUUUUCUCUUUUUUCCCAGAACAGAAGCUAUCUGAAAUCUGGGCCCUCCCAUUCGCCACUUUUUGAAGGAUGCCAUUUCGGAUUGAGCUGUCUCAUACACUACAUGAAGGAUUAGAAUAAAAAUUAAAACGAAUGUCUCAAGAGGAAAAGAGAUGUGAUCACACAUGUUUCAUUUAGAAAGGAUAGCACGUCUCACAGUUGAUCUCUUCUUUUGUCAGAAUAGACCAAAAUUUGGAACCAGCAGCAAAUGCUACAGAAUGGGCCUUCGUGAGAAUUUCCUUGUACCUACUCUUAAAAGCAGACAACAACAGAAACCCAAUGGUUCGGUCGCCAACUCUGCCAUAAAUGAAAAAUAAAUCAGGAAGGUACGCAAAACAUGUUGCCAAUGUUGAGAAAAAUGGUUCAGGGAAUUUGUAGUCGGAAGGUAAAUUUGUGGAUUCUCCCUCAAAAAUUAAGACCAUAUAUUAUGUUAUAUCUCCUGUUUGAUUAAUGUGUUACUACGAAUCAAGGGCUGAGAUGUUGCUGGACGAAAUCCAGUUUUUGAACAUUUGGCUAUCUUUCAUUUAUUAGGUUGACAGAACUCAUGACGAAAUUUAUGAUAAUAAAUGUUUGAAUGAGAUGCUGCAUGAACCAUGUAAUACAAGAAAGUUUCUGACAGCCACAUACUAUCUUCAGAGACAGCAAUAAAAUAUUUAAUCAACAAAGUAUAAGAAAACCGUAAAAUGAGUCAGUAAAGUUUAAAGAAAAAGAGAAAUAAAAAGCUAUUUCAUACAAGCAAGAAAAUACAAGCAUAAGCAAGACUUACACGGGUGCUAUCUUGCAACCAAACUCAUAAAAGAAUGGACAUCUGGACCUCAGAUCCACACCGGCCGAAUCAGCUUGGAUCUCUAGCCUUGUUCUGAAGUUAAGAAUCAUAUUCUAUAAGAUAAAAAAAUGUGACACUUUCAAGACAUCAAAAAUUACUGAUUAUUGAAUUAUUGCAACUUAGCGUGCGUAAGCCAAUAUCCGUUUUUAAACUAUUACUUUGAAAGCCAUGUUUGAUUAUUGAAUUUGUUGUUACCCAACAACAUGCACUAAUUAUUAAAACCAACAACAAAAUUAAGGAUGAGAAAAAAAAAAUUGGUUCCAAAAUCCAUUUAAAACCAAUGAGGGAAGAUACUAACAGGAAAGGUCUGCCAAGAAAAUUCAGGCGCAACAGAAAUAGUAGUACACUUAAAAAGUCCUCUGAACUCGUCAGCGUCAUGAAAUGAUCCAUUAUAUGAUAAAAAGCACUCAUAAGUAGCAAAAAGACAAUAAAUAACCACUACGUUUUAUCAAAACAAGAGGGAAUGUUGACUGAUACUGCCUGUCUCAUCUGUAACUCAUGAGCAAGCCAAAAGGGCAAUUCAACUUUUGAACCAGUUUCAAUCUGAAAAUUAAACAAUGUAAUGUCAGGUCAAAUUACUAAGCUCCACAGAGCACAUAUCUAGUGCCACAACAAUAAUCUUUUUUCUUUUGGAAAUCUAAAGACGAGUGUCUUACAAAGUCCUUUUCAGAACUGGGAUCUAUUCCCACCCCAGAUGCAGUCUUCUGAAAUAUAACUGACACAGUCUGUGACCACAACAUAUCAAACCGUAGUAUUAGAAUAAGAAAUUCAGGUUGUAUUCUGUAUCUUAAUUGUAAAGACGAUGAAUUGAUAGUUGAUUCUGUUAAAGUUAGCAACAGCGUAAAACAUCAUGCGAUGUCAUUCCCUUGCAUAUCAAUUUACAGCACCUUUAAAAAAAACGAAGAAUCUGAAGCCUACCUCUUCCUCCAUAAUAAUAUCAUCGAUAUCAUAGUACUUAGUAUUCAUAUCCUCCUGCCUGCUGCUUCCGCACUUCACUUAACUCAUCGAAAGAGUGAACUGAAAAUUCAAAAUAGCGUUUGAAAUAUGCCAUACAUUAAAAAAAUAUUUCUUCUUCAACUAACAAUAAAAACAACAAAACCAAUCAGCACAGAAAACCCGAAUCCGUUGAUCAAAUGACAAAAUUUCAUUCAUUAGUAUUGAUGUUUUAUUAAAAUAAACUCAGUAUGAAACACGCCCACAGUAUCUGUUGUUGCACUUCCAUUUAAAAGAAAUUCAUAACCACGAAAUAUUGAAAUAUGCGUAUCAUACUGAUAGGGGGGAAUAAUAACUGUCAAAAAAUAGUAAAACAAUAGUCAAUAGUAUAGGAAACAGUGGAGAGGCGAAUCAAGCAAAGCAAAAAUCUAACUCCUAAUUGAAAGUGGAAAUUUGUUUCUACAAUUAGGACUUCAAUCUGAAGUGGUGGAACACAUUACUGUGAAAGACGAGAAAUUUGAGCAAGAAAAAAAUCCUUCUUUUCAAUUCGAGCAAUCAAUAUGAAACCAGCCCGAGACCCAGACCAGUUGCACAAGUCAAGGCCGAAAAUCUCACAAAACCAAAAAUCACGAUUCCUUAAAUAAUACUUCUUUUUUCAAUCACAUCAUUCGUCUUAUGCAACACUUGUCUUUCUUCAAGCUAUCCAUGAUUGCUUUAUUUUAUGAACUCAAUCUGAGAAAAAAAAAAAAGGACAGAACUGUUUGUGGUUGUUCACAGGGGACGAUCGCCCCAAUUACUAGAAAGCACAGUAACCAACAUGGAAAAAAAUCAAGUUUCAAAUUACCUCGUAUGCGCAUAUUUACUUGUACAAAAUUUUGGACCAUAGAGAUAAGAAGCAGCGAAUAAUAGAAUGUAGAAGAUUUGAAUCUUGGAUAAAUACUUGAACACAGUUUUAAUGAGAAUACUUUGGUUCGGUUACGCGUAACAUCUUAGAGAAGGAAAUGCACCUGAGCUAUGACGGAGUGAAUUGUGCCGCCGCAAGCUACUGACAGAGUGAGCAGCGACGAUAGCUACUGCGGAGUGCUGAUGGGGGUUACUGUGAUAGUGAGUUGGGGUAAGAAAUUGGAGAUCGAUUUAACAAAAUUAAAAUGAAAGAAUGAAGUGACGAAGUGAUUAAGAUGAAAGUAAAAAAGGAAAUGCGUUUGAUUUUGGGGAAGAAAACUAGGGUUUGUUUUUCUUGGAAUUUUUGUGAUUUUGAAUCUUGGCGCGUUUUCAACAUUUCAGUUUUAGUGAUGGCGCCUUCGAAAUUUGUAGUGUACAGAUUGGCCUCCUCUGGUGCAAAACUAUAUAAAAAUCCAUUUUUCGAUAUUUUUAUUUGAUAAUGAUUUUUUUUUUAUUUGAUGAUAAUGCUGCCUAAAGGAUAAAAUUAUUUCACAAGUGCAUAGCUUUAUUUUUACUUUUAUCAUAUUUGAUUUGAGAUUCUCCUAUUGGAUUAACCAUCUAAUCAAAUGGAAAUAUUAUAAAAUCAAAAUUAAAGUUAUGAAAAAAAAAAUUGAUAAUAGGGACUACAAAACUUUUCAGGGUAAUUUAUAAAAGUUAAAGAUCUAAUAAUUUUGUUGUACUUAUUAUUUCGAUUUUUCAAUUACAAAAUCGUCACUUAUUUUUAAUUAUUUUGAAGAAACAACUUUUCUUUUCAACGUGCUAUUUACAAUUUCUUUUGUAAAUAUUAAGGAAAUUAAAAAUAGGGUAACUAUUUUGUAAUUUAUAAUAAAUGUAAUCACAGGAGUAAAAUAAAUUAAACUUAUAACUAUUCAUUGUUUACAAAUAUUUUCAUUAUUUUUAGGAAGGUUAUGUUUAAAACUUAAUUUCUAUAUAUGAAAAAAUAUAUAUUACUUAUUAGUACGUUUUAUUCAUUUUUAUUACUUUAGCUCGCCAGUAAUGUAUUUGCAACGUUGGAAGCUUUAUGUUUUUAAUUUAAUUUAAAUAAGUUUUUUAUUAUUGUAAGCUUUUUUUCUUUUUAUUCCCUGGUAUUUUUUAUUUAUGUAAUUAAUUUAUUUCAUUUGAUUUUUUAGUGAAAUCAAAUAUUAAAAUUAAGUGUUCAAAAUGUUUGACUUUAAAAUACUUAAACUUGUUUGAUAAAGAAAUAUACCUUUAAAUGUAAGGAAAUUUACCUUUUUUUUCACUUAAUUGAAAUGUUUUUUGUUAAAGCAUAAUUGCCUCAAAACCAACUUAAAUUCUCUUGAUUGAUAAUGCUUAAAGAAAAUUAUGAUAAAAUAACAAUUCAACUUUAAGCUUUAAUUUCACUUCAGUGAAAAUUAUAAUUUCAACUAUCAAUUUUAAUUUUGUUUGAAGUAGAAUAUUAAAUGACACAUUUAUACAACAAACCAAAAAAAAAUAGCUUUUAGUGUUGAAGGUUUAUCACUUUCAUUCUAACACAUCUAAUGAUUUAUGUAAUCUAAAAGUGACUUUUAUUUGGGUAAAAAUGUAGACACUUAAAAUUUAUUUUAUUUUUACUUAAGCAAAAAGUAUAUAUGAAAAUAUCUUCAACUCUUAAAUAGUGUUUAGAUUAAGGAGUGAACGUGAAAAGAUGAUUGUGGUGUUGUUUGGAUUGAGAGAUUUAAAGAUAUAGAUGAAGGGAUUUGAAAGAAAAAAUUUAUGAAAAUUUGUGAAUGAUGUAAUAAAUGCGAUAGAUUAAAAAAAACAUUUUAAUUGAUAAAAAUAAAUUAUUGACUAUUUGUCCUUAUGUUGAAAUUUGAUAUAAAUUUAAAUUUAAGUUGUGAAAAUUAUAUUAAAGUGAAAUUGAAAUUGUUAAUGACAAAAUAAAAUAAAAUUGCAAAAAUAAAAGAACGUCCUCCAAUUGUCGAGCUUGAUUUAAGUUCGUCAAAUUUAGUUUCAUUGGUCAAGUUUGACAAAGAGAAGAUGUCAAGCUCGGCAACAAAAGAGAAGUUAAUCAAACUUUGUAAACUCGAUUCAACUUGACAAGACAACAAACAAGUUCGACAAGCUCAGUUUCAAUGGUCAUAGUCGAUUCCAAUAACAAUGAAAUCAAUUCCACCACUUCCAAAAUCGAUUCUACCGCAUGUUGAACAUGAACAUAAUAGAUUCUAUCACGACACAACUGAUUCUACUAGACCAGAUCUGAGUAUACUACUUCAAUAAGACUACAUAGUCGAUUUCACCAAUUUCGUUCCUCUCUUAUUCCACCAUUGUAUUACCACCACCAAAAUUGAUUCUACCCCUUGUAGAACCGAUUCAAUCCCUCCGAUAAUUGAUUUAAUCCCUCUCCAAGAAUAUUACGUAUUUUUUUAAGUAAAAAAUAAAACAAAGGUGCUUUGGUCUUUUCAUUUAAAUGAGCGGUCCACCUUUUUUAGUCUUUGCAAUUUGCAUGGAUCACUCAUUCCCUCUCUCUCAUGUAGGUUAGCUUUCUCAAAUUCCCUUACAUGCAUUGAAACAAACGUUUAAAUAGUCGACAUAUGUAAACAAACACAUCAUUAAUUUUAAUUUUACUUGAACAACUAUAAUGUUACUUAAACAAAAGUAUCAAAUAACAUACAUGUGAAAUGUAACACCCCGACUUUUUCUAAUGUUGCGGGUUUGCAAAAACUUUUAAAAAUUUAACUCAGAUACUGUUGCGGAAUACGAAUUGUAUAAAAGCUUUUAUUUAUAACAGAAACUUCAGAAAUCAAAUGUAACUACAAAGUGUUCACAAAAUUUCAUUACAAAACAAAUAGUGUUGAAAUUCAAAUCCCAUAGUUCUCCCACGUAUCUCACCGCUCAAGUUCGCCUUAGUUACACCUGAAACAACUUCUACUCCCGUAAAAUACGAUCAUCGUAGGUGGAAACCACAACCACAAACAUGCAAGGGUGAGCUAACGUAAACAAGUCAUCAAAACAAUUCAAUAACAACUACACUAUCAGAAAUCAAAGUCACCCGCAUAUAAUCGUACAAUCAUUUCAUCAAAUAACCGAAUCACACCCAUAAAGUGUCACCCCCACCACUCUCUUACAGAGCUUCACCGGGCCAGUACACUUUACCAACUCUUACACCAUAACAUUUCCCACCACUCUCUAGAAGGCUUCACCGGCAAGUACACCACUUCCCACCACUCUCUUAGAGCUUCCCCGGGCAAGUAUAUGCUUUCCACCACCCUCUUGGGCUUCACCGGACAAGUAUACACCCCCCACCACUCUAUUCUCAGCGAGCUUCACCGGGCAAGUAUCAAUGCUACUUCCACCACACUUCCAAGAAAGCUUCACCGGGCAUCAUAAAUAUAACUCAGUUUUACGAGAAAUAAACAACACUAUAUUUACAUAACNAAGCUACAAACUCGUAUGUGAUAAACAUUCUCGAACAAUAAUAAAACCAUCCUUAAAAUAAUGAAAAGAAACUAAACCACUUGAAAUAAUAGCCACAUAUUAAACACACCAUUUUUCUAUUCCGUAACCAAAGUCGAGUCCAUAAAUUCUAUAUAUAUAUAUAUAUAUAUAUAUAUAUAUAUAUAUAUAUAUAUAUAUAUAUAUAUAAAAUAAUUAUUGAAGUGGAACCCACAACAUUAUUAUUAAUUUACUUUCAAUGAAGUUACUUACGAGAACCUACCAAGUACCCACACUUUAAUAUAUUAUAUUAUAUUAUUAUUAUUAAGUUACAUAACUCUCUGCUACUAAUUUAUAUACAUAUAAAUAUACAUACUAUCUUACGUAUAUCAUCUUCUACAUUUUUUUUUUCUCUCAUGUUGGAUAACCACGUAAAUCUCCCUGCAACUACUUUUUCUUUCAUUUUCUACUUAUAUUAACUUCUCACUAAUGCUCCUUUCAAAUUUAUUUUCUUUAAAACCUGUAACCCUUUUCCACCCAAAGUUUUCUUACUUCAAUCUCCAUUAAUUACUGAUGGCCCUACUAUCCUACCUACCAACAUUCUCCAAUAUAAAAUCUUAAUAAAUAAGUAUACCAUGCAUUUAACCUUUGUGUGAUUACAGUAACUCAAACAAUACAUAUCUCAUGUUGGUUAUACUCUUAAGGCCAAGCAACCCAUUUAUUUUCAAACAUUUACAUCACCCUACUCCAUCCUUUACGACAACCGCAAACUGCUAUUCCUAAAUUCCUCCUCACCGAAGCCCUACCAUUUUUCCCAUGCAAAUAUCACUCCCAAUAUCCUAAACCCAAUCUAACAUCUCUUUCUUCUUCUUUCUAAUCUAGAACAUAACUCUGAUUACAAAACCUUCCCAUGCAAAGCAAAAUCCGUGCCUUUCCAUUCCUUCCCUACAACGUCAAGAACCACCUUUCACAGUGCUAAAAAAAAUGUUGUGAGACCUACCACUUGUACUAACCAAUCAUCCUCCUAAUCUCAAUAACUCUAAAAAGAAUCACUCAUGCGUAAACCUUAUAUACCGCCACUUUUAUCACAAACAAUCACCCAUAUAUGAUCCCAUACGCAGCACAUAUAACAGAUACAUUAUGGAAAUCCCAGCCCGUCAACACAUUGCUCAAAACAUACAAUUCAACCACAAUAAAUUUCGGAUUGCUCCCCUUACCUUUUUGGGUUCAAACCUCCAACGUUUCCAACUUCAAAGUUACGUAGCGAGAAGCUUUUCCCUCGUGACAGUGCUUCUUCUUCUUGUGGCAGCGUCUCUCCCUCUUCUCAAAUGCUCUAAGAUUUUGUAUAGAUGGGUACCAAGGUUUUCAAUUUCCUUCUCCUGUAUCUAACGUGUCUUUCUUCCAAUUCUAACCUAACCACCCUUAACUCCCUCAUAAUUGGGCCAAACAUUUGGACUCUAACUUUUAUUAACAUACCCAACCGGUGUUAGUUACCUUAUUAAACUCCUCCACUAACUAAUAUUUCUCACUUUAAAACCUAAAAAUAUAAGACCUAAAAAUGUAAAACCUAAUAAGUUCUCUUAAUAAGUAUAAGGUGGAAACUCUUAUCUUCCUAAAACACUCACUGUAACCAUAUUUAAAUCAGGUUUCUCUUCCUAAACUUUUCUCUCUCUCCGUUUAAUUCUCCCAAUCACACCUCUUCUCUCUCUUUCGUGUGGGUCCCGCAUUCCCAAUGCCAAUAAAAGAAAAUCAAGCAUCAAAACUCUACCAAGGUUUGAACUCAAAACCUUACAACACACCCAUAUAAGAAACCAAGAAACAACCACUAGGUCAAUUCAAUUUCACUUCUAUAUCAUUGCAAAUACUAAUCUUUAAUAUAUCUCACACAUUUAACAAAAUCAAUUUAAACCAUUAUAAAUAAUUUUCAUCUACUUCUUCAACACUUUUAACCCAAAAGAAAAAAAAAAACAAUCAUAAUGAAUUAUCUUCCCAUAAUAAAAAAAUAUAUUAUAUUUUUAUUUUCUACGGAUCUUACAUGAAACAUACCCAAAAUAGUUUUAGAAAAUCGUCAUUUUCUUUCUAACAUGUCAAACAUUCUUAACAAAUUAAAAAUGAUUAGAUAUAUAUUUAAUUGUUAUACUUUACUCAUUUUAACUCAAUUUGAACUAUUCAAACUCUUAUAACAUUUAUUCACACUAUAUUUUAAAAUCAAUACCCAUUGGAAAACCAUAUAAUCUUUUUUUCAUUUAACCAAUAUUCCUACAAUGCUAAUUAGUUUAAACGAUUCCAAACUAAUUAUCUAUAACUCUCAGAGUUCAAAAUUUCACCCUUUUUAACUCAAAACAAUAUUCAUACUUCAACACAUAAUGUUGGAAGUCCCACAUCUAUUAUAGAUAAGACCAAUUUAUAAUAUAUUUGUGGGGGUUGAGUUAGACCUAAAAUCCACUUCUAACACAUAACACUAUUCGUUACAAAAUACAAUCAAUAAUAUAUUGUUUCUCUAAUCAAUUCUCAUAUUUCCAUCUACCGUCUUUCAUUAUCCAUUCACAUAAACUUAACCUAUUACACUAAUAAAAAGGUAAAUUAGAUGUCUUGGUCGACACUUUUUAUUUAAAACAAGUUUGCACUAUAUGCUUACGUUAUUGGGUACAAUACAUCACACAAGAAUACAAUAAAAAAAACAUAUGAUGAACAACAACAAGCAAUACUAAAUAAAAGUAAACAUGGAAACAAAAUUCAAAAGAUAAGACACAAUAAGUUUUCCUACUAUUUAUCGAUACCAACAGAGUUGUGCUAUUGAAUAUGGAAAUCAAAUAUACCCAACCGAAGCAAAAGCAACAGUAGCAUAAUCCCAAAGUGAAAAAAUCAAGCAUUAUAACUAGUAUACUAAAGAUAUUCACAACUAAACUAAAAUCUACUUCAAAUUCAUCAUCAAAAGUCCAUUCAAGAUAAUUUGACUUUAUUCUGAAAAAUAUAACUAAAUCAAAACUCAAUGACUCUUAUUUUUAAAACAAGAAAUUUAAACCUUAUUUAAAAUCUUACAUGAACUAAAUAUAAGAUCAAAUUAUAAUACAUAGAUAAAGCAAAUUUUAUCUUACAAAAUUAAUUUAAUUAAAAUAAAACUCAUUAUCUUAAUAUGAAAUCACAAUCAUAAAAAUUUAUUUUGGUUGAGAUUCAACUCUAUCGUGUCUCUGGUUGUUAUGUCUCUUCCAUUAUCAUUCUCAAUCUUCUUAACAUGAUUUUACGAUUAUUUCAACACGAAAAAUAUAUUAAAAAAACUCUACAUUAAUUAAAAAUACAACUAAAUUAUAAUAUUUUAUAUAUAUAUAUAUAUAUAUAUACACACACACAUGACUAAAAUAAAUAUUAAUUUGCCUGUCAUUUUCCAGAUGCAAUCAUCUACCUCUAAGUGUGCAAAUAAUAAAAAGAAAUAGAAAGGCAAACUUAUUCUAAAUAAAAUGUUGAGUGAAUAAAUUAUAUUUCAAUCUCUGUUAGCACCUCUGCAAAAGCAAUUAAGAAAAACCGAUCUUGGAUUAUUUUUGUACUUUUUUUUUUCACUUCUUUUUGUUUAAUUACCCCUUUCUCUUUCCUUAUAUAUUUUUUUUCAUAAAUUUUCUUACCCCUUCCAUUCGUUCUCUUUGAUAUCUUUUCAUCCUCAACUCUUUCUUUUUCAAUUUUUUUUCACUAGUUUGUUUGAUAUAUAAUUUGUCAUUAGAAUAUAAUAAGCUACAUCAAUUAGAAAUAUAAAGGCACAUGAAUAUGACAGAAUUGCUUAGCAUUUCAAUAACUGAUUUCUCAAAAUUUAUGAAUGAAAAAUUAGAAUUGCUAUUGAAAAUAUUAUUUACCCUAAUCAAAUUCAGGUCUUUUAGACAUUCUACACACACAUAUAUAGAAUAUGUAUUCAUAUAAUUUGAUUAUACAUAAGUUUUUGUGUAAAUUUCUUUAUCUUUAUACAAGAAAGUUAAUUUAUGAUUUUCUUUUAUCUUUUUUUUUUUUAAUUUUUUCAUUGUUUUAUAUGAUUUUUUUAUUUAUUUAUUGGUUGUUUAUCUUUUAUUGUUUUUCUCCACCUAAAGAAGCAAUUAAAAAAAUAGACAGAUGGAAUAGGAUAUUAUCAUUGGUGAGAACAGAGAGACAGACUGAUGAUGACAGCAGAAACUUGACGAGGAAGACAACAAUGAAUUUCACUAUGAUCAAGUUGGUAUGGAUACAAAGGUCUAGACCAAGCUAUUUAUGGAAGGCAUUUGUAGCCCCUCCAUGUGUGCAACAGUCAUCACCAUUUCCAAAUGGUGCAGUCUCUGUAUGGUUGUAUGGUGGUGACAUAUGACUUAUGCUCAAUUUUUUCAAGCACUUGUCUUGCCUGCUACUCAAACAACUUAAAUCACAUUCAACAAAACAAAAACUAAUGUUAUUUUACUUUGACAGAUAUGAUUGUUUUUAAAAAAUAUAUAUUUAUGAUUAAAUAUUUUCACAGAUGUCUACUAUAUUUUUAACACUUAUUACAUGUUAAACUCAAAUUUCAGAAAUAUUUGUGCAAUACAUCAAAAGUUAUAGUUAUUGUAAAAGUUGCAUUCAAUUUUUCUUAUGAUUAAAUAUAAGUGGCUACAUUUUCCCUUCCCACAUAUAAACUUGUCUUCAACUGAACCAUCAUGAAAUAACAGAUUAUCUAAAAUAUAGGACAAUACUAUCACCAAAUAGUCAAUCAAGAUGUCUAAUACAAAAUUUAAAUUAUAUAGGAAUCUGCUAAAUACUGUAGGAUUUGACAGACAGGUUGACUCUGAAUAGAGGUAAGAGCAAAUAGAUAUUAUUAAAGUCAAUAAGCGAACAACCUAAUCCCACUGAGUCUCUCUGUAAAAAGUCCACUCAGAAUCCAAUGUAGUUCCCAGUCAGCCUCCUUAAGCACGCUCAGUAUAUCUUUCACCACUAUUUUGCUUCCCUCAGCUGCUCAAUGGAUACCAUCACUGCAAAAUUCAUUGAAAGAGAUGAGAAUAAGCAACAAUUUCAAGCAUAAGGAGAUAAAAAGAAGAAUCGUAUGAACUUUGGUUUUAGCAUCUGGUGUGACUUUAUUGUUAACUCUAUUUUAGAUUUUUCUAAAACUGAAUAUGGAGUGCAUAUGAAAAAAUCCACGUGCUCCUUAGAUGUAUGUGAAUCAAUUUAGUGCCUCAGGUCGUGGAAAUUAAGACAGAAAUCAUCCUUGUACGCACAAAAGGCAGGAUUUAGGGACUAAUUUGACGUCAUUUUUCUUUUAAUGAGUAUCUAAAUUGAUGUCAAUUUAUUUAGAGGACAUGUAAUCUCCAACUUCCCAUAACUACAUAUUAAUAUCACUUAUUUAUUAAGAUCAAAAGCCAAAUCAAUGUCAUACUAAUCUUUCAAGCAUCAAUGGUUUAAAUUUAAUGGACAUGAAAACCCAGUGAAUUGAAGAUAAAUGCAAGUUUAAAUUAACCAACAGAUAGCAUCAGUCAACAUGCCUCUGAUGGAAGAUUGCAGGAAUCAUCUUGAAAAGAAAGCAAGAUACUGGCAAAGAGCAACUAAAGGAUUUGGGUAUUAAACAAUUACAUUUCAAUAUGACACCAUUCUGAAAUCUCAUAAUAUUUUAGAAAAAUAAAAGAUAAGUCGUAGAGGUAAUGAAACUUACGUAAAACAAGCAUUCCUCCAGUCAUCUCUCUUCUGUAAUGCAUUAUUAAAAAGAUCAACAACUUUGACAUCCAGUUCCUUGCAUAGCUUAAUACAAGCUUCUGAGUAGCUUUGGCACAAUUCAUUCGUUCUUACCAGCUCACUAAGAACUCCACUGAUUAAGAAAUGGAAAUAAAAAGAUAAGAUUGGAACUUGGUAAUUAUCUGAAUAAGUACACUACAGAAUUGAAAAUGUGAAAGAAAAUAUCUUCAGGCUACCUAGUGUUUCCACGCACUUUUUCGUCUUAAUAAGCAGCCCAUUUGAAAGGGUGGUCAUUAUUAUCCACAGACUAUAUUUUCUUGACACCUUUUCGUCUUAAUUCUGCAAUCGGCGUUCUCAAGCAAACUAAAUUUCAUAACUGAAUACAAAUGCAUAGUUGAUUUGUGUUAAUUUUAUGUUAUGAGAAACAUUGGAGAAACAGCGUUAGAAAAUCAAGGAUAGGCAAGAUAUAAGACAAUCUGAUGAUGGCUGGUUUUCUUAUCUGCAUUACAUUAUGUUUGUCUCCUUCAAUAUAUCAAUUUAUUUCCCAAACCUUCACAUUUUAAAGAAAUGGUGUAGCCUUCAUAUUGAGAAAAUCAAGAUUGUAGAGCUCUGUGUCUUGAAGUGAGCACAUCAGUUUCUACUGAAAGGCAGUGUGCACUUAUGAAAAAAGAACCAAAUGAUUAACAUAGCUGCAGAAGUACCUGAAUAUGAAUCAGAAUCUUUCUCAUGUUUUCAAUAUAUUCGUGAAGAGGAACAUGAGGGCCCAUGGAAUCAUUAACUCUGAAAUAAACUAUCACAAGAGAAGGCUGGGUUGCAACAUCCUGGGAAGUCCGAUAAAUCAAAUUAUAUAACGUAGGAAGGAUGAUAGGCUACAUCAAAGGAAUUAUUCAAGAAUGAAUUGAGAGAGCAUAAAGUUAGCAACAUAUCCCAGAUGGAAAUCACAUUAAGAACCAGAAAAGCAUCAUGCAUUAUUUCAAGAAACUGUGUUCUUUGACCCAUACACCAUUUUAGACUAAAGCAUAAGGCAAUCAAACAUCAGAUAAAGUUUACACAAUACGCAUAAUUUUGAUUGAGUUUUGUCAUGUGAAUGUUAGGUAAAAUACCUUUGGUAAAACUUGAUCCAGCACUUGGAGGGCACGUCGAGAGUUCCAUCCGUAGUAUCCUCGCAACAAUAUGUCAGCCUACACAAAAAAAAUAAAAUUGUAUCAUCAUAGUCUAAAAAUGACCAUUCUCAAUAGUUCAUUAGUGAAGGAAAAAAAAAAAAAAAAGGUACUUAAUAUGGUCACACUCCAAAGAAGAGAGUGCAUACUUAUAUCUCUUAUUUACACACACUAAUGAAAUAUAAAUGUCUGGAUACAUUAAUUCUUACCCACCCACCGCCACGACUACCACUAUCUUUUCUUUACUUUUCUUUGAUUUCAUUAAUUCAUGGAUUCCCCUUCUGAGAAGGCGAAUGGGAACAUAAAGACAAAGCCAGAAGGAUAAGGACAAAAUUGUCCAUCACAUAAAAGAAUCCAAAAGCAUUCAUUUUUCUCUUUGUCGUCUUCGAAAACCAUCAAAAGCAGGUGCACCCCCCUAACCUUAACCUUUACUUCACCUGCCCCAUUACCCCAUCCCUUCUCUUCCCACCAAAAUCCAACCCUCUCAAUUCCGUUACCGUCAUCUUCUCACCCCCAUUUAUUUAAUUAUUCUCCUUCUCUUUCUCCCCUUUCCUCCUCCUCCAUCAAGCGACUCACUUUCUGCCACCCACACACACAAACCACAAAACCCUCUUUUUCUUUCUUUUUCUUGCCGAUGAAGCGUCCACUUCUGUCCGCCACCUCCCACCAUGACGAGACCAAGAUGAAGAAGGCCAAGGCGGUGGUGAUAGAGGAUGGAGAUGAGGAGGGGGAUCACGUGGAGGGAUUAGGGUGUUUUGACGACAACCUGCUGUUCGAGGUUUUGAAGCACGUGGACGCGCGUACUCUAGCUAUGGCAGGGUGUGUGAACAAGCAGUGGCACAAGACGGCGCAGGACGAAAGGCUGUGGGAACUGAUCUGCACGAAGCAGUGGGCGAACACUGGAUGUGGGGAACAACAGCUACGAUCCGUAGUUCUCGCCCUCGGUGGCUUCCGUCGCCUUCACGCCCUUUAUCUCUUCCCUCUCUCCAAGCCUCAGACAUCUUCCUCAUCUUCAUCCUGCUCCUCCUCUCCCUGGGGCCCCACCAUCCCCCAGGUCAUUCGAUCAAAGCCCCUACGUUUGGGGAAGGACGAGGUUCACCUCUCUCUUUCCCUUCUCUCCAUUCGCUACUACGAGAAGAUGAAUUUCAAUAACCGAACCAGAUGAUUCCUUAUUAUUCUACUAUCCAUGAUCCAUAAUCCGUAAUCCAUUCUAUGUGUUUCCUUUUCUAAACCUAAUUUCGGCUUUCGACACUAUUUCAUUUGGUGCGAUUUUUAGAUUUCAGUUGCCAGAUCUGCUUUUAAUUCAGGCAAUUAGUCUAAGCUGGAUGUGUUUUGUAACCUGUAUGUAUGUACUUUGAUUUGAUUAAUAAUAUAAUAUAUAUGAAUAUUGGAAUGUAUUUGUAUCUCCAUGAUGAUGUUUUAAAUAUCUUGUUUUGGGGGUUGGAAGAAUAGAUUAGGGUGUGGAUCUGAGGGGAAAAGGGAGGAUUUGGGAGUUUAGGGGACAAGAAUUUGGGUGAGGUUGGGAGAAUUGCCGAAAGGAGCGGAAGGAUGAGUGAUUGGCGGUCCUGAUGGUGUUUUUUCCGAAUAGGCACAAGGAGACAGAGGCUGAGGUCUUCUUGUUCUGUAACAAAUGUCUGCUACUGCCUAUGUUUUCUGGCUCUUACUUCGGCCCAAUGGGUAAAGGACACACGAAUGAGUUUGCAUUUCUAUUGCCUCUGCAAAAGCCAAAUUUUUCUUGAGGGACGAUAUUUGUCGUUACGAGGAUCCCUAUUAUUUGUUUUUCCCACUGUAUUUUUUCAUGCUUUAGCAAUAUUGUAGUAUUAGAUCAGUGAACACGGACAAACACACUCUCUUGGACGAAUAUAUUGUUUUCUCCUCCGUUUUUAUCUAUUGUUCUUUUCAUGUUUUUAAGGGCGUUAACGUUACAUUGUUUACAAAAACUCUGGCAGUAAACAAGUGAAAUAGGAUUCUGGAGGAGUGCGAUGAGACAAUCUGGUCAACUAGAUAAUAAUACUAACAGGAACAACUAUGUAUGUUCCGUAUCCGAUACAGGUUAACAAAUUAUUUUCUUUACAGCUAAAAUUUCCAGUGGUAAUAAUGACCUUAUGGCGUUGGUUGUCAUUAAAAAAGCGCAACACAUGAUAUGAUGGAAAAACUGGGCAAGACUAAAAGGAAAUCUUGUUUAAUGUUGGGUCACACGAGGCAGAGGUGUCACCCUAAAUACUUUGAGAAGCAACCUGAAGCUCACCCAACAGCACGCGGGACUUUUUGCACUGACUUGUCGUCAAGAAAGACCCAACUAAUGACUUUAAUGGGAUGAAACCGUGGAAUUCAAACCUCCAACAACUUAGAGUUUGUGAUUACAAUUUAGAAAGAAACUAGUCUCUUGAGCCAUGCGUGCUUUGUUGAACAUCGAUUACUAUGGGUGUCGAAGCACAAGCCAGGCGGCUUAAAAAGGAGCUAUCUAAUUCUCAUGUGGAUAUGAAGGAAGCUAUCUAAUUCUCAACGGUAGGGAUUCACUCUUCCUUAACAGCGGGAAUUAGAACGAGUGGUAGGAGUUGUUUGUAAAACUUUUCAUUGACUGCUUGCAAUUAGACAUCGGUAGGAGUUCUUUGCAAAACUCUUCCUUGAACGCUUAGAAUUAGAGCGAUAGUUUUAUUGCUUCAUUCAUACACCUCGUUAAAACCUCAUUAACCAAAAUCCUCAAAGAAAAGUACUAGUGGUAGGAAAGAGUAUGUCG
RNAcentral lists this long non-coding RNA (71790 nucleotides) under Vigna radiata. RNAcentral describes it as "long non-coding RNA (VRAD_LNC002568)". The record is from RNAcentral. Lineage: Eukaryota; Viridiplantae; Streptophyta; Magnoliopsida; Fabales; Fabaceae.